This 52316-nucleotide long non-coding RNA is filed under the name Gossypium barbadense (sea-island cotton). Its description in RNAcentral is "long non-coding RNA (GBAR_LNC015898)". The stretch from base 21319 to 21405 matches the Rfam family "MIR7486 microRNA precursor family". The record is from RNAcentral. Lineage: Eukaryota; Viridiplantae; Streptophyta; Magnoliopsida; Malvales; Malvaceae.
UACGAUUUUGACGACCCACCAAACCUUUCAAGAAAGGAUACAAAUGAGCAAUCACCCAGAUGGCAAAGAAAAGCUUGCCAAAAAGAGGACCCCAGGAUUGGUAACCACUGUUUAUAGCAUACGACACGCCGGCCACAAUGCCCACCAGGUUGAUAAUGAGUACUGUGGUUGGAGGAAUGAGAAGUGAUGUCCAUUUGAAAACAUAAAGUUCGGCAAAAUCGCCAUCAUCAUCAGACGCCUUUGAAGUGACAGUGAAGUUGGUAUCUAUUCCAGCAAGCACUUUCAGAAGACCCUGGAAAACAGCAAAGAGAUGAGCUGAUGUCCCACCAAUGACCCAGAAUUGUUCAUUUCUCCACCAGUCUUCGAUACUGACACCACUCCACCUAAGCUCAAGUAUUCCAGUGGCAAAAAUGGAGACGAAAAGGAGAAUGAACCACAUGCUAGCAAAGUUGCUUAUCUGCAAAAAGAUUGGAGGAAGAACAUACAUCAGUGUCAGAGGAAAUAGUUUUUAGAGGGCUACAGGGGUAGAAAUCAGUUUCAAAGGAAAAAGGGAAGCUCUAGUAAUCACUUACCUCAGGAAUGAUAAAUUUUCCUGUCAGAAGGCAAAAGGCAGGAAGCAUACAAUAAGCAAGCAAAGGAAUAGAGGUGAGGGGGUAAACAAUGGUGUUAAUGUAUGCCAGUCUCUCCAGAAGCCUCAAUCUUCCUUUGUAACCAUACCAUAUGGGGCAAUGUCUACUCAGCAAAAUCUCAAUAGAACCCAAGGCCCAUCGAAGCACUUGGUUCAGACGAUCAGAAAGAUUGAUAGGAGCAGAUCCCUUAAAUGCUGGACGAGGAGGCAUGCAAUAGAUUGAUAUCCACCCACGAGCAUGCAUCUUAAAACCAGUCAAAAUAUCUUCUGUAACAGAACCAUAAAUCCAUCCAAUCUAGUGACAAGAGGGAAAAAAAAUAAAAAGGGUUAACACAUAUAAAAAGGGAAACCAGGUAAGGGCACUACUAAAGGCCAUGAUACUUCACAACUGACCUCCUUGCCCCAUUCAGUCUUGUCCUCGUAUCCACAACUAAUAACAUGGAUUGCUUCUUUUAAAAGUGUUGCAGGAUUGGUUGAUGGUGGAAUGCCUCCUUGUUCCAUGAAGGUAGCAGCAAUAAAUACCGGGGACUGACCAAAUCGCUUCUCUAGUCUCUUCUGAGACAUGAGAAGAGAUCUUUCUUCCUCAUAUCCUGCAGAAAAUAAUAAAUGAAAUUGAGACCAGUCAGACCAUGGGCAAUACUUUUAUACAAACUGCAUGAUCUUGAAUAAUGUUGAUUCUGGAAAAAUAUGAUAUAAUAAAAAUUUUAAGACAGCCACGCUGAAAAGGGAAGAACCCACACUGUAUCAUAUGCAAUAUAGAAUGAUAGGAUCUAGUACUAUAUUAGAGAUAAAAAUCAGAAAGUAAUAGAGUAGUUUCGACCAAAAGCCCACCUUCUACACCCUCCUCAAUGUCUUCCAUAUUGAAAAUAGGGAUGGUCGAUUCAGUUCUCUUAGCUGCCCUCUUCUUGUCAAUGUAUUUUUUAUUCCCACUCUUUCCCUUCUUUCUUGAACCACAACAACUCUUAACAAUAAUAUUUGGUUCCAAAUCUGCUUCUGUCAGAACCGGAUCAUACCCAUAUAGAGCUUGCCUGUUGAAACAGCAACCAGUUCCCACAUAGACAGGACCUUGGAUGCCAUCUAACCCUUUCAAGUUAAUCUGCAAAAUACAAGCACAAAAUGAACUACCAUCCCCCGUUAACUAGUAAUUUGAAACAAGUUCUAUAAUGAAGCCAAAUUAACGGGUCAUACAUCAAAGAACACAAUAUUCCUAUUGGCAUAUCGAUCGUGCAAGUCAAUGCCAUCAAAACGUUGAGGGAACUGCACAUAGCACGUCUUCCUUCCAUAGGCAGGAUCCAUCAUGAAACACAUUGCUUCUUUAAGAGCUUUACUGUUAUUGAAGUAGUGAUCACAAUCGACAUUCAACAAAUAUGCCCCAUUGGUAAGAACAGCUGAAACUCGAAUCUGAGGAUCAAAAGAUGCCCAGGUUAGAAAAUGAAACAGACAAUCGCCCUACCAAGUUGCAAGGGCAGAAGGUCUAAAACGAUUUUCCUGACAAAAAACUGGCCCAUAUGUCUACACGACACAUUCCUUAGUAAACAAUAUCCAGCAAAGGAACCAAGGAAGGAUUAUUGCAAAGGUAUGCAACUGACUAUAAAUAUUAUGCUCAAACAUUUCGGUUAGAUGCAGUCCCGGAAAAAGACCAGAGGACAUCUGUGACUGCUUAAGAGAUACAUAGUGAAAUUGAAAAAGGGCAGAGAAUUGCAUACCAAAGCAUUCAUGGCUCCAGCUUUCUUGUGGUGUUGGAAGCCAGGUCGCUUCUCACGAGAAACAUAGAUAAGGCGAGGUAGCUCAUUUCCAUCAGUAUCAAGCCCCCCACUAUGACCUAGAAACACCUGUUGUUCAACAAAAUUACAUUAGAAAAUAGAAAGAACCAUGAUAGUAAGUAAUCACAGAACCAACUUUACUGGAAUGCAACUCAGUUGAAGGAUAAUACCUGUAUCAUUCCUGGAUGAUCUCUUGGGUUAUUUCCAGGCCAUGGUGUUCCAUCCUGCAUUGUCCAACCUUCUUCAGGCAUUUUCUGAGCUUUGGCAACAAGGGCAUUGAUCCGCACCUUGAAUUCUUCAUAUUCUCUCUGUCAAAAGAAAAUUUCACCUUUCUCAAUGUUAGAAAAUGUGACAUCUUUUUCCCAUUUAAUAGGAAAUAGUGAGUGGAAGAAACAUUUUUUUAGAUUUUAUUUUCUCACGUUCUAAAAAUUUUCAUUGUACUUGGGUUGGAACCCACUUAGGCCUAUUGCGGAAUUCUUUCUUCAGUUUUUUAUUUACUUAUUUAUGCAGUGUCUAACUGCAAAAAAAUAUACGAAGGUAUGGACAGUUUCAAGCAAAGCUUACCAAGAAAUACCCACAAAAAGGACAGGAAAUCAUUUUAAGGUCUAUUGUAAAUUAAUAAAUAUCUUAAUAGGUCCAGGAAUCAAUGUUUAAGAAGGCACACAUAAGCAUAAUUAGGCAUCUUUACACCGACCUUCAUUGCACGACGCUCCUUGACAAAAGAAGGCUUUAUCUUGUCCUUUAGAUAAUCAAUCUUUUGAGCAAAAUAAAACUCAGGAGCUCUAGGCUCUAUACUGUGCUUCUUGCAGAAAGGCACCCACUUCCUUGCAAACUCUGCAGUUUCAGAGAGGGCUUCAAAAGUCAGCAUAGCUGAACCAUCAUCAGAAACAUAGCAAGCUACUUUGUCCACAGGGUAAUCCACUGCAAGGAUUGACAAGACAGUGUUCGCUGUGAUAAGCGGAGGCUCUUUGAGUGGAUCCACUGUACUGACAAAAACAUCUACAGGGGAUAGCUGUGAUGGUUCCCCAUCCCGGUCAUAUCUAGAAAACAGAGCCAACCAAUAUUAAUGUUAUGAUAACAGACAACAGCACAAAAAAUACACAUAGGCAGACAAGAGCAAAGGAUUUUUUCAGCCAAAUAUGAAACAAACCAUCAGCGAGGUAAUAGAACUGACCUCAAAGCUAGCCUGUCAAGGUAGGUCUCACGAUUAAUGGGAUACCAUUUUGGAAACUGAUCUAGAAGCCAAGAUAAAGCAAACCAAAUCUCACAGAUAACAGAAGUUAGCCACAAUGGAUAUGCAUCUUUCACUGGAUGUGUUGCACGAUAUUGCAAGAAAAAGCCCAAAAUGAUGAGACGGAGAAUGAUGACAACACGAUAAGGGGUCAGGUGAGACGAAGAAAUAGGCACCACACGACUCAAAGGUUGACGAGCAUCAUCAGCCCUGUGGAACAAGAACCAUCAAACUUCAAAAUCAAAUGCAUAGAUGACAUCAACUGAGUAAAAAAUCAUUCCAAUUAUGACUACAAAGUCAAAAGGAAUGGACACAACUUGCAUCUAGAGAUAGAAAUAUACAAAAAGUGACAAUACUCCAAAUUAAAAUUUGAUCAAAAAAUUAAGUAUGAAAAAACAAAAUUAAAGAUUGAAAAAAUAAACUUAAUGUAACUUAUAUGGUCAUUUAGAUAUAUAAAAACACUCAAUGGAACAUGGUAAACUAAUUUAAAUUCUAUUCCAGACAAGAUAAGCUCACAUUUGCAAUUCAUCCCCAUUCGAACCAGUUCCUUCUAUAUCUCCCUUCCCUUCAGGGUAUCUAUUGUUCAUAUGCAUCACAUUUUUCUCCUGUUUGAGUUUCCAACUUUCAACCCUUUCCUUCCAAUCAACAUUCCCAAGGCCAUAAGAAUUCAAGUCCUUUGUUGGAUCCACAAUUCUCACCGGGACUACAAGAACAGAUGACAUAUAAUUGAGAUAAUAAACACUUCAAAAAGGGGGAAAAGAAAAAUCUCGUAAACAAACCCAAUGACUUAAUUACCUGGUUGCCUUGGGUCAACAUAAGGAGAAGAACUAACAUUCUUUUCAGAAGGACCCAAAGGACCUGAUGUCGUUCGCACCGAUCGAUUGUCCGGUGUAGCAAUUUCUCCAGAAACCUGAAAAUGUUGGCCUAUCAGUUAGAAAAAUGACCAUUUAAGUAGCAGAAAUCAUAAAUCUCAUGGUAUUAAUCAGCAGAGAAUAUAUUAGCAAAGCUAGUCACUUCCCCAAAUACAAAAGGCUUUUCUUAUGAUUUAACCAAACCAUGUUGGGCUAUACAUGAGAAUUAAAAGGCUGAUGAUAGCAAGAUUGCAAUGCUACAAAACCAAGCAAGAAUGAAAUGAUUUUGCCAAUUAAAUCUAAGUAGGAGAAACCAUAAUGUAUGACUUGAGUUUUCCAACUUUGAAACGGAAACUCAGGAAUUGAACAGCACAGCUUGAUCACCAAGUAGAUAGAUGAAAGGGUACUAAAAGAUGAAACAGAUAAUCGCAUCUUUGCAAACUCCAUAACAUGAAUAGGUACAGAAGCACAUAAAACGCCUACCGUAUGGCCAUUGGUUAGAAGAGGGAUUGGUUGUUGAGAUUCAUGUCUCGAGGAUGAAGAAAGAUCCACAUCUUCACCCUGCCAUUGCCUCCUAGCCUUACUGAGUCCUUGAGCAUAAUCAAACUCAUUCUCCAAGUCAUCAACAUCUUCCUCAUCAUCAUCUCCCUCCACUCUAGGACUCCCUGAAAUAUUCAGAAAUUACUUACUUCACACAUGAUAUAAAAAUCUUAGAAGCCAAAUCAUAAAACGAAAUUCCUAAGAAAACAAAAAAACCUUUAUGCCUCUUGUAUCUAGUCUUGCACUGGGGACAACACUGAGUCCCAUCUUUCCGUUCAUACUCAUAACAAGGCCGGCAAACUGGGAAGGCACACUCAUUGCAAGCAACGAACACAUCACCGGCAGCACCAACUCCAACAUUAUCACCACAGAUCUGACAUGUCUGCCCAUUCAAAUUCUUUAGCGGUUUGGGCUGCAUUCAGAAAGGACAAUUAACGCAGUUAGAAAUCUUCUGAAAAUUUGCAGUUGAACCAAAUAAAACCAUAUGCUUAAAUAUAAAACCAAAUAGCCACAGCAAAUCAUCGAAUGAUCAGACUCUACAGAUGAGUGUCUAGAAUAAAAAUCAGAACCAAAUCUCAAGAUCUGAUUAUGUUCACUAACCAAUCAUUCAAUUCCUCAGUCAAUAAGCUUCAAAGUAAAGAAUUGAAUUUACUUUCACUCAAAUGACCGUUAGAUCUUAACAACUAUGAACUUUUUAAGUCCUUUUCUAUGAUAACAAAACUCAGAUCUUAACAUCACACUAUUAGAAUAAGUAAAAAAUGAUAAAAGAAAAAUCAAACUAGAAUAAUGAAAUAAGAAAUGAGACAAACCCCACUAUCAGAAUCAUGGCGAAUCCGAACCAACUGGUUAGUCCGGUGAGAACCGGCCACCAUUCCAGCACUUGCUUCCAUUAUAUUGUUAUUACAGAUCAAAAGGUAAGGGUAUUAAAUGAAAAAUAUAGAUAUUAAGAGAAGUGAGAAAAAGCUGUCGGCAAUUUCUCCCCUUCAACAAGCCGUCUCCAUCUUCCCCAUACUCAUUCCAGCUAUUGUGUGGGCUUAAUGGGUUGUCCCUUUUAUCACUUAUUUUUUUCUAAUUAUUUAGUAUUUUAUUAUUUUCUAUGAUGUAACAAAUUUUACCGGGUGAACCAGUUGCUAUCUCCCUCCCCCUACUACCUAACACUGCUCGGCUUUGCUGAUUUUGUCAUUACGGCUCGGCUGCCUCAGCUUUAUAGCCUCCUUUGACUUUUUAAUUAAAAACUUCUUUAUUACAUUUAAUUUCAAUGAUAAAUUAGGGUAAAUUAUACAUAAAAGCCCUAUUUUUUUUUAAAUUUAUCGAAAUAGGCCCGGUAUUUUAUUAUUUACCGGAAUGGGCCAUUUUCCCCGAAAUUACGUCCACGUCAGUGCGAUGUUAGGGGAUGUGUCAGCAAAUCGCGUUCACGUCAGCGCGAUUACUUAUGUGGCAACAAAUCGCGUCCACGUAAGCGCGAUUUGCUGACGUGGAAGUAAUAAUUCAUUAACAGUUUGUGUUUUUUAGCUUGGAAAACUUUGAAAGGUCAUAACUUUUGGCUCAGUUGUCUGAUUGAGACGAUUUUUUUUUUCGAAUAACUUUUCGAGAUCUACGCGCUGACAAACAACCGAAGGUGGUUUGCCGCAGUUUUCGUCGAAAAAGAUCCUUUUUUACCUCUAAAUUUUGAUUUUUUCGGUUUAAAAUUGAAUUUUGAAACAUUCAAAUCAUUAUUUUCCUUAUUUAUUUGAAGUAAACACCGGAUUUUUUUUACAGAAUUGUUGUAUUAUUUUUUCUGAUUUGACACGUGUAUGGAAUAGGUCCGAUAAAUCGUUAGAACGUAAAUAAUAUAAUUAAGAUAAUAACAGUAUUUUUAUAAUAUGUUAAUUAAUUAGUUUAACUUAGUUGGUUAAUAUGCUUGCUUUUUUCCCUUAGUACCUUGGUUCAAAUCUUCUUGUCAAUAAAUUUGAAUCUUUUUUGUACUUGUUGCAUUUUUUUUUUAAUCAAUUAACUCUUCAAUACUAUAUUAAUAUAUAUUAUUAGUACAAUAGUAUACACGGAUUGACAAUUUGAGCUACAAUAUUAUGAAUAUUAACUACAAUACAUAAUUUGAGCUACAUAUUACAGUAAUACAUUAAUAUGUAUUAUUAGGAGCAAAAUACUAAAAAAAGGGGCAAAUUACACAUAAAAGCCCUAUUUUUUUAAAAUUUACGCUGACGUGGACGCGAUUUGCUGACACGCCCCCUGACAUCGCGCUGACGUGGAUGCAAUUUCGGGGAAAAUGGCCCAUUCCGGUAAAUAAUAAAAUAUCGGGCCCAUUUCGGUAAAUUUUUAAAAAAUAGGCCUUUUUUGGUAUUUUGCCCCAUAAAUUACACCUAAGGUCAAUAAAUUAUUAAUAAAUUUAUGUUUUAAUCAUUUAACUUCAAAAAUUACAAAUGAUCCACUAAACUAUUUCAAAUUUUUCAUUUAAGUCACUAAACUGUUCAUAAGUUUUAAUUUAAGUCACUGAGCCACUAAGGGUUUUUUUUUUAAAUCUGGAUAGCAAGUUCCAAACGUGAAUCGACGAUUGGUAUGACGAAUUUAUACCCAUCACAAGUAGAAAAAUAUACCUUAGAUUUAAAUCGAUCUGACAGUUAAUGUUGAAAUCCGAAUAAGAAAGUUGUUUAGAUUUUGGUUCACAAAUAUAUGACAUUCAAAGAUAUUUCAUGAAUUUUUUUUAACUAUAGAAGAAAAAGGGAAUGAGAACUUUUAAUUGGUGCAGGCGGUGCAAACAGAAAAUGCCAUACAACACUAGGUUAUGACAACUCAAUGACUUAAAUGAAAACUUUCAAAUAGUUCAGUGACCAUUUUGUAACUUUUUAAAGUUAUGUGACCAAAACAUAAACUUAUUAAUAGUUUAAUGACUUUGGGUGUAGUUUACCUUAAUCUCAAAUAUGUACAAAAUAUGAUAUUCAUAGAUGUUUUUAACCAACUAGUGUUGGAUAACGAUAAGGCAUAUUGCAGUCUCGUGAAGAGAGCUUGGGUUCGAAUCUUGGAAACAACAUUGUUAAGAGGAGUAACUAUGAACUCCAAAAAAGAUUAAUCUUCAUAGACCAUAUAACAAACAUGAUAGCUUCAACUUGUAAAAAUUAAAACCUAAAUUAUAAACACUAAUUAUAAAAAAUCAAAAUUAAACCUGAACACUAAAUCGAAUAAAUUUAUGUUGUAAAAAGAGUAAACAUAAACAUGUAAAUCAUGUAAAAAAAUUGUAGUAAGUAAUUUGUAGAAAUUAAAACAUAAAUUAGAGAUCAAUUUGAUAUAACUGAAAAAUGCGUAGGACUUAAAAAUAAAAUUAAUCUAAAUAGAAUUAAAUUUUGAAUAAAUCAUAUAAUAAUUUUAAAAUUAGCCUUAAAAGUAAAAUUUAAAAAGCCUCUUAAAAAGUGCGUUCCUUGGUUACCAAAAAAAAGUGUAUUCCUACAAUAUAAUAUGUAUGAUUUCGUAGGUAACAAUUUUACAUGUUGUAAUUUCUUUUUUUUUUAAAUUUUAUUUUUCUGAAAAAGAAUUUAUUUUCUACAGUUAUUCUCGUAUUUUUAUUAGCAAAUCUAAUAGAUGAUUUAUUAUUAGUCGUGAACAAAUUAAAGAAUAGGAUUAUAGAUAUUCCAAACCCUCGUGUAAUUUACAAUUAUAUAGUUUAUCAUUUGUAAUUUAAAAAUUUAUAUUUAGUUAUCUUUUAUAUGCUUACAAACCAAAGAUAUAUGAGAUAAUUCAUCUAUAUUAAUUUACACUCAGAACUAGCCGUUUAGCUUAGCCACACGGCUCUUCACCCCUUUUUACUAUUUGCUUACCAACCCGGUAAUAUUGUUACACGUGUUCAGCUGACACUUAACCACUUUCCUUCACGGAAAUGGACAACUUACACAUUAUACAACGUUUUUCCUUGCUGGCAAUAGCCUGUUCUUAAAAGUACCGGUUAUUGCCGGUACUCCGCAUCUGCCACUCCUUUGCCUGUCGGUGGACUCAAUAGUCUAUACUCCUCCAAGUUCUUAAUUUUACAGGAUUUCAACUCAUUCCGAAUUUACAAAUAUACCCUCUACCUUAUGGUGCGAGAAGUGUUUUUUUUUUCUGUUAAACUCACAGUGGAAUUAUUUUCAACUUUUUUCUAAUUUAAUAAUUUUUUUUUAAAUUUCAUUGAUGAAAGUAUUUUGAUUAAUUGAAUCAAUUAAUAUUUUAUUUUAUUUUUUCAUAAACAAUUCUAACAAACCAUUAGAAUUUAAAAUAAUAUAAAGAAAAAUACAAGUCAAGACAGCCAAUGUUGGGGCUUUCACAAAAGCAAAUUAGUGAAAAUAGUAACUAGAAAUAUGCCAGUAAUAAAUAACUACGGUACUAUGUUUCAUCAUUUGGUUCUUGUGAUUUGAGAACUGAUGGUAUUUUUUCUUUCAAAACACCACACACAUAAAAGUAAAACACAAGUAUUUAACAACAAUCAUAACUGGUGCUCAUUGAAAAUUAUUACUAACAACAAAAUACAUCAAUGAAAGUAAGUUACAAAGAAUUUCCCAGUUUACUCUAAAAAAAAAAAUUCCCAGUCUAAAUACCAUCCUCAAGAAGUCAAAAUUGCAAGAAUCAUACCUCUUUCAAUGAACAGUAACCCCAAAAUCUGUUCAUGCACAACGUAUCUUCAAGGGUAUAAGGAAACAGGAAGCAUGAACCAAUGAAAAUCUAAAGAUCACCAAAAGCUUGAACUCGAAUGAUCCGAUUAUUAUAGGUAUUCUCCCAGUUCUAUAGUUAGAAAACCAACCAAUUAUAGAACACAGGCAUGGAAUGUUAAACAUACUGUUAAUUACAUUUAACAUGCCACAAUUGGAUGACAGCCCAAACUAUAUUAUUCAAUGAGCUGAAUGGUUAUUUCAUCACCAAUAGUCUCCACAAGAACAAAGACCAUCUUUAAAAUGAUGGAACCGAUUAGCAUCCCUAACCACGAUGACUCUCUCAGUGAUCUUGGAUAUAAAUUUAGUGGCAGUAUGACAAUCUACACAAACUCGUAGAUUCUUGAAAAUUCUAAUUUCAGUUCCAGGGUCUGUAGCAAUAAGACCAAAAGCAAUGGCUAAUUUCUCACUGUGAACAUUUAUCAUUAGUUCCUUCUCUUCCUCUUCUACAUCAUGCAAUGCGGUAUCAAUCUCAGUCUGAAACCCUGCCUCCUUCAUUUUCCUUAUUAAUUUUUCUAGCAUUGCAUAGAUUGCUGAUGCUUGAGGAUGGGACUGAUCACCAGAUGUAAAGACAUGUGGAGUUUCACUGAUCUCAAUUAAAGUGCAUCCAGGAGUCUUUGCCAACUUCCUUUUCUUAACAUUUUGCCGGACCGAAGCAGCCAGUCGAUAGUUCCUCUCAACUGAGUAUAAAUUUGACAGUAAAACAUAAUAUCCUACACUUUCAGGAUCCAAUUCAAAUAGCUUUUCAGAAGCCACACGAGCAAUCUUUUUAUCCUUGUGGAUCACACAAGCACCAAGCAAUGCACCCCAUUCAGGAGCCCCUGGCUCAACUGGCAUUUCCUUUAUAAACUUUAAGGCCUUUUCUAGUUGGCCGGCUCGGCCAAGGAUGUCAACCAUGCAGGCAUAAUGUUCAGGUAACGGCUUAUAGUGAUAAUCAAGGAUCAUAGACUGGAAUAUUUUUUCUCCUUCUUCCACCAAGCCAGCAUGACUGCAAGCAUAUAAGAGAGAAAGAAAUGUCACACCAUUUGGUGUAACCCCAGAAUGUGACAUCUCAGAGAAGAGCUUUAGUGCAUCCUGGCCCUGGCCAUGAAGACCAUAACCUGAAAUCAUUGCAUUCCAAGUCACCACAUUCUUCCCCACCAUCAAGUCAAACAAUUCUCGAGCCUCGCUAAUGCCACCACAUUUUGCAUACAUAUCAAUUAAAGCAGUUGAGACAUAUAUGUUAGACUCAAAAUUCUUGCUUUUAACUAGGCUAUGUACCCAUUUCCCCAGACUAAGAGUUCCAAGCUGAGCACAAGCUGAAAGAAUGCUUGUAACCGUGACAGGGUUGGGACUAACUUUGGAUCUCUGCAUUUCUUGAAAAAGAGAUAUUGCUGCUUCGGUCAAUCCAUUUUGGGUGUACCCUGAGAUCAUAGCAUUCCAAGAGGCUGGUGUUUUCUCAAAAGACUCGUCGAAAAGCAGCCGUGCAGAUUUAAUCUCAUUUAGUCUGCUAUAAACAGUAGUUAACGCUGUUGAAACAGAAGGUUGUGAGAGAAUACCAGAUUUCACACAGAAACCAUGAAUACAGUCAGUAAGACUUAAAUAACCAAAAGGAUGAAAGACAGGAAUCAACCCCACAAUUGAGCUUGAAUUGACCUUUUCCCCGGAACCAAGGAGUUGUUUAAAGAGCCUUACUGAACACUCACUCUCACCAUUGCUAGUAUACCCCGAAAUCAUUGCAUUAUAAGAAACCAAAUCUGGUCUGCGUAUCUCUCCAAACAAUAACUUAGCUGCCUCAAUGUCCCCACAUUUUGAAUACAAUGAAAUAAAUCCGGUAAGCACAUGAACAUACGAAUGAAACCCCAGUUUUAUAGCUAAACACUGAACCUCCAUUCCCAAAGUCAAUUCUUGCAGCUCAGCCAAAGCCGGUAAAAUAGCUGCCACAGUGGUUGAAUCCAAAGGAAUCCCACCAUCUUUAAGCAUACGCUCAAACACCCAAACCGCAUCAUCAAAACAACAAUUUCUAACCAACCCAGAAAUCAUAGAAUUCCACGACACUGUAUCUCUUACAGGCAUUUUAUCAAACACCUUUCGCGCCAAGUCAAUCCGCCAAUUCUUUAAGUAAAAAUCAACAACGGCAGUGCCCACAAACAAAUCCGAUCCAUACCCAUCAACAACCGCAUGUUGAUGUAACAAAAUCCCCACUUUCUCAUCCGAAAGGGUUGAAGCAGAUGCGAUAGCGAAAGCGUAAGUGAAGUUAUCAGGCUUGAGAUGAGUGCAUUUCCUCAAAUGGGUGUAGAGCGAAAUGGAAUGGGCGUUAGAGAAGCCUUUGAUGAGGACAUUGAAAAGGAAGAGAUCGGGGUUAGGGAUGGAGAGGAAUAGGUGACGUGCGUAGGAGGUGGCCUUGAGGUCGAAGAGCCUGUGAGUGAGUUUAGUAAUGGUGGAGAUAUCAUUUUGGAAGUCAUUAAGGAUGAUCUGAGCGUGGGUUUGGGUGAGAUGAGAAAGGGUUGUGGAUUUCUUGAGUAGGUUGAGGAAAAAGUUUCGACUUCCUGUGGGGGAGUAAGUGCUUGUUAUUGCGGACUUCAUUAACAUCUGCUUUACUAUGCAAACCAAGAGUCGAACUCUCUCUCGCUUUGAAUCAUACCAGAGGUAAAAUGGCGGGAAACAGAGAGCAAUGGCAAAUCCUGAUAAUUUUAUUGAAUCUGUUGAUUUUGUGAAUAAAAUUUUAUAAAAUUUCUAAUAUUUAAUAUUAAAAAUGAUAGAUAAAAGAUAACUAAUAAAAAAAAUAAAAGCAUAAUGGUCUUAACGAUUAAAAUGAAUUUUAUUAUCAAUCCAUUAAUGUGUGAAUUCGAGUAUAUUGAAAUGUAUUAUUCUCAUCAAUGUUAUGGGAAGUUAUAGUAUAGAUAUAAUCAGAACCUAUAGUUUUAACUGUUUGAAACUUUUUUUAAGUUAAAAUUAACUCACGACCUUUUAAAAAAAAUAAAUUUAGCCAUUAAUAUUUUAAAAAUAGUCACACUAUAUUUUUAACAUAAACAUCAAUUAAAACAUUAAAUUUUUAAAUACCUCAUCCAGCAUGUCAAUUUGUGUGUAUUUUAUGGUUUUUUUUUAAUUCUUAUGAAUAUUUUAUAAUUUUUAAAUUAUUUGUUGAUGUGUAAUAUAAAAUAAAAAAUCUAAUGUCAGAAUGAAGUACACGAGGAGUGUUAUGUUGGUUGCCAUUCCAAUAUCAUUAAAAAAUAAUGUAUUAGUUAACAUUUUCAUUUAAAAAAAUUAUUUGACUCUUUUUGAAAUGUUAAUGAUCAAAAUUAACACAAUAAAAGAAUAAGGGCUAAAUUGGUAAAGAAAAUGUAAUAUUGAGGGUUAAAUUUAUUAUUAUACUAAAAUUAAAUUCAAUAGAAAAAUUGAAAAUUAUAUAAAUUGACAUUUAUGUUUAGAGUAUGAUACGAGAAUAUCUUUUAUUUGAGUAACCGUACUUUUGAAUGGUAGCGAUUCUUGAGACUAUCUCUAAUGGUGGUGAUGGUCGGACAAUCAAAAAAAAAUUCGGCCUGGUGAAUUGGAAUCACCGGAUUUGGGGGACAUUAUUACAUGUUUUAUUUCUCAUUUAAACUUUUUGUUGUAGAUUAAAAAAUACUCAGUGAAUGACGUAACUGAUUUCUUGUUUUAAGCAACUCAUAAAUGGAAUUGGCAUUGGGCCGACCAAGCUAUUCUUUCAACACGGGGAUUACUUAAAUUUUCAAUGGAUUUAUGUUCCUCAACACCAAAGAAAAAUAGAAGAAAAUUGGAAUGCUGUAGAGAACAAAAAAAUUUAGCAAUUACACGGAAGUGAUCACAAAGUUGAGCUAUUUUCAAUUGAAUGACAAAACUUAUAGUUGGUACAAUGAAUAUAUAACUACACAAAACUUUCACUCUAAUUUUAUUCUGUCUUGUGCAUCUCCAUUCUUGUUUGUUCAUACAUCACAUACCAUAAUCUAAAAGAACCACGCAAGAUGAUUUUUUUCAACAGUUAAUGCCACACAUUGUAGUGUCUGGUCCUUUGGUUUUCAUCACAAAUGGAUCAAUUCGGACCCAAAGCAAGGAGAAGAUUGAAGCCAAUAGCACUGACCAUAUAACAACAAUGGUUGGUGUCCUGUUUUGUCUCCCCAUUAAACCUUUAAGGAAUGGAUAGAGAUGGACAAUCACCCAGAAAGAGAAGAAGAGCUUCCCAAAAAGAGGUCCCCAUGAUUGGUAUCCAUUGUUUAUGGCAUCUGAGAUGCCGGCAACGACACCGACUAAAUUGAUGAUUAAGACAGUAGUUGGAGGAAUUAGAAGGGUUGUCCAUUUGAAAGUAUACAAUUCCCCGAACUCCUCGUCAUCAGUUGCCUUGGAUGUGACAGUGAAAUUAGUGUCAAUACCAGCUAGAACUUUCAACAAGCCUUGGAUAACCGCGAACAAAUGUGCUGAAAUGCCACCGAUGACCCAAAAUUGCUCAUUCCUCCACCAUUCUUCAAUGCUUACUCCACUCCACCUUAGCUCGAGAAUACCAGUUGCAAAGAUUGAAAGAAACAAGGCAAUGAAGAAUAGACUUGCAAAGGUGCUUAUCUGUAUGAACAAGAAAAUAAGAACAUUAGCAGGUAAAACUAUUUAAACUUCAAAUGGUUAAAGGAGAGUUUGUUUAUUUACCGGUGGCAUGAUAAAUUUAUCGGUAAGUAAACAGAUUGCCGGCAGGGUACAAUAGGCGAGAAGUGGUAAAGAUGUGAAGGGGUAGAUGGUUGUGUUGACAUAUGCGAAUCGUUCAAGCCAUUUUAGCUUUCCUCCCUUGAAACCAUACCAUGCAGGGCAAUGAUGACUAAAGAAAAUUUCAACAGAACCGAGUGCCCAUCGAAGGACUUGGUUUAGUCGAUCCGAUAGAUUGAUGGGAGCUGAACCCUUGAAUGCAGGCAACUUUGGCAUGCAGUAUAUUGAUCUCCAUCCACGGCAAUGCAUCUUGAAUCCUGUUAAGAUAUCUUCUGUAAUCGAGCCGUAAAUCCAGCCAAGCUGCACGUACAAAAGAUACAUAAGUCUUGGUGUUUAAACUUGAAAAACAUUAUAAAGUUUCAAGAGGUUGGCAAUGGCAUUUUAAGUACCUCGCUUCCCCAUUCGGUUUUGUCUUCAUAACCACAACUAAUUACAUGAAUGGCUUCUUUGAGCAAAGCUGCAGGGCUUGAAGAAGGAGGGACACCACCUUGUUCCAUCAGUGUUGAAGUUACAAAAAUGGCUGAUUGUCCAAAUUUCUUUUCAAAGUUCAUGUGGGACAUCAAUAACUCCUUGUCAUCUUCGGCUGCUGUUAGUAUAUAAAAAAGAUUUUGAAGUUAGGCGAAGCGAAUAAACAAUAUAAAAAAUGUAAUGCCAUUGGUAACAACCUUCUAGGCUUAGACCAUUUGCAUUUCCACCAUCCUUAGAGUGCUUUUUGUCCUUUCUGCGGCGUCCAAAGCAAGGGCAGCAACCACAGGUUACCAUUUUCGGGCGCUUAGGUCCCUUUGGAGGUUCAUAACCAUAAAGAGCUUGCCUUCUGAAAACACACCCCGUGCCGACAUAUACAGGGCCUUGUAUACCAUCUAGACCUUUCAUGUUAAUCUGCAGAAACCAGAGAACAAGAGUUAAAAAAGUUUGAUUCAUUUAUUAGUCCUUAUAUCAUCUUAUAGUGUACAAGAACAUGCUGCACUUACAUCAAAGAAAACUGUGUUCCGAUUGGCAUAUCGAUCAUGUCUAUCAAUACCAUCGAAACGUUGAGGGAAUUGGACAUAGCAAACCUUUCUUCCAAUUUGAGGGUCCAUCAAGAAACACAUAGCCUCUCUUACAGCCUUGCUGUUAUUUAAAUAAUGGUCACAAUCCAAGUUCAACAUAAAAGGAGCAUUUGUAAGCACCCCCGAGACACGAACCUGAAAUUUUUGUAUAGAAUUAACAUAAUUAUUAUCAAAUAAAGUAGGGUCUUAGAAAGGAAGGGGAACUUGAAUGAAACAGGAGUUAGCAAAUGCUUAAGAUCUUUACAAGGGCGUUCAUGGCACCAGCUUUCUUGUGAUGCAAGAAACCUGGCCUUUUCUCUCGAGAUACAUAGACGAGACGAGGAAGCUCAUUUCCUUCGGUAUCAUGGCCUCCACUUUGACCGAGAAAUACUUGAAUCAUACCAGGGUGAUCUUUAGUAUUGUUUCCUGGCCAUGGUGUCCCAUCUUGCAUGAUCCACCCUUCUGGAGGAACCUUUUGGGCUUUGGCUACAAGUGCAUUUAUCCUAACCUUGAAUUCUUCAUAUUCUCUCUGUUAAAGCACCAUGAAAAAAUGGUUAUUUUUACAUAAACCAGCUCACUGCAACUUAAAACUCUGAACUUUUUGCAUAUAAACAGACCUUCAUAGCUCGACGCUCCUUCACGAAUGUCGGCUGGACUUUGUCUUUGAGGUAAUCUACCUUUAAAGUAAAGUACAUCUCCGGUGCUCGGGGCUCUAUAGCAAAUUUCUUACAGAACGGCACCCAUUUUCUAGCAAAUUCAGCUGUUUGAGACAAUGAUUCAAAGGUGAGCAUAGAAGCACCAUCGUCAGAAAUGUAACAAGAGAUUUUAUCCACUGGGUAGUCCAUGGCCAAGAUCGAUAGAACUGUAUUCGCUGUUACUAGAGGAGGUUCCUUCAAUGGAUCCACUGUACUGACAAAAAUAUCAACAGAAGCAAGCAUGUUGGGCUCACCUUCCCUCUCAUACCUGCAUCAAACAUUAAUUAUGAGCUCAAAUCAAUGCUACACUGUUCACUAGAACAUUGUGAAAUCUGUUUACCUGAGGGAAAGGCGAUCGAGAUACGUCUCGCGGUCAAUAGGGAACCAUUUAGGGAACUGAUCAAGGAUCCAUGAAAAGGCAAACCAGAUUUCACAGAUCACAGAAGUUAGCCAAAGCCCAAUUGCAUCAUGUACCGGGUUCAAAAUCCGAUAGCGAAGAAAGAAAGCAAGGAUAACUAGACGAGCCACAAUCACCAUACGAUAAGGAUUGAUUUUGCUCGAUGCAAUUGGCACUUUCCUUGACAAUGGCUGCCUAGCUUCAUCAAGCCUGUAAAGAAGGUUCUGCGUGAGAAGAACUCGUACAAGUUCUUUUUCACAUGGAAGCACAUAAUAGCCAUAAUUACUUACAUAGCCAUGUCAGCAUCAUAGGCAUCAUCAGGUUCAGGACCCAAAUUCCCUUGCUGCAUUUUCCAAUCAUCCAUCCUUUCUCUCCAUCCUCCCUCUUUCUUUUCAUCCCAUCUUGCACUUCCUUUGGUUUGGCAAAUAUUUAAUACAUUAUAGAUGUAAUACAAAACAAAUAUAUAUAUAUACAAGUACUUUUAGAUAAUACAAGAUUAAAAGCAUACCAGGUUCAGACAUAGGAUAUGGAUGAACUCGUUUAUUUGACAUGUGUUCCCCAUAAGCAAGAGAGCUUCCUAUUGGGAACUCCCCGCUCACCGGCCGAGAUCGAACACCAGCUAAACCGGGUGGGAUUUGCAAACCUUCAUCGUCUUCAGGGCCUCUCCCGUAGCUCAUCUUUCCAUGAAGCAUCGAUUCAGCGAUAUUUCUAUACUUGUUUUGUUCAUCAUCAAUGUUGAAUUCAUGUUCGAUAUCAUCCACAUCCUCUUCAUCUUCAUCUCCCUCCACCCUAGGACUCCCUUCACCGUACAAUCAAAACCAAAGGGGAAAUGAAAUGUGAGUUUAUUUCGAAGAAUCAAUGGCGGCUGCACCAAAGGAUGUAAAUGAGUAAAUGGCAAUACCUUUGAGACGCUUGUAUCUAGUUUUGCAUUGAGGACAUUGUUGACUCCCUUCUCUCCUUUCAUACUCAUAACAAGGCCUACAAACUGGAAAACCACACUCGUUGCAGGCCACGAAAAGAUCUCCAUCGACCGUCAACCCAAUUUCAUCACCACAAAUCUCACAAACUUGACCAUCCAAGUUCUUCAGAGGUUUAGGCUGAAAUGCACCACAAACACAAACACAAAAUCAAAACCCAUCUCAAAAAAAGGUAUAAGUGAACUGUUCCAUAAAGCUGACGUUCUUUUACCUCUUCAUGGCCAUGAAUGACAACAAGUUCAUUGCGGUUGUGAGAGCCCGCAACGAGUCCGGCGCUGGCUUCCAUUGGAGGAUAUGAAAGGAGGGAAUGAAUGAAUGAAUGAAUGAAUGAAUGAGGAACAAUACGAUGAAGAGAAGAGAUGAAAUAGAGUUUUGUUGGGAGCUGAACAUGUGCCUUAAGGGACUGUGUUCGUUUGUUGCAGAGUCUACAUUGCCUUGAAGUUAAGCUUUCCUCUGUCUUCUUUUUUUCAACUACCAUUGCCUUCCCUGCUUUUACAAGUUUCAAGCUUCAGCGACCUCCCAGCUGUCUAUUUUUCAUCAUUUCUUUUUCUUCUUUCCCGUAAUUGAAUCAUGCUUGGGUUGCCUGCCGAAUUUCCAAAGGCUUUUCCAGAUACUGUAAAUAAAUAUAUAUUUCAUUGAUCUUUUCCGAUAUCAUAAGUAUUUUCACUGAAUUACUUAGUGGUAAUGUAAAAGUAAAACUAAAAUAUCAAUUCAGAGAAGGUGAUACUAAAUUUGAUCCGUGUAGAAGCAAAACAGUCAAAAUUGAUGUGAAAGAAUAUUUUAAUAUCAUCAAAAUUCUGGUCACCGUGUAACAAUUUUCCAAGUGCAUACAACAUUUUUUUAAUUUCUAUUUUAGUCUCGAAUUAAUCUACAUUCUUCUUUUUUUAAUAUACUUUUUUUUUUACGCUACAUGAAAUUUUAUUUUAUUUUUUGGAACAUUUCUAAGAAUAGAAGCGUAGUUGGGUUGAUCUAAAGCACCAAUUAAAUGCUGAAUCCGAUGUUAGCAUCAAAUAUGAGUAUAUAUAUAUAUAUAAAAUAACUAUUUGGGAGUAAAUAUUAAUAUUUAAAAAAUAAAAAAUCUGAAUAAAACUAUAUGUGAAUACAUGUUAAAUAUUAGUAUUUUCUUUUAAAUAAAAAUUUCUCAAUAAAAUAGUCAAGAUCAUGAAUAACGAAAACUAGUUAUAUCAUUACACAAAAUAAAAAUUUUUAGCAUGAUUAAUAUUGUAUCAAUAGUUUUUUUUAUAUAUUUAUAUCAAUAUAUAUUAAUAUUUGCAUUUGUUCCGAACCUAAAUUACAUAAAUUAUAAUCAUGGUAUUAAAAUUAGUAUUAUAAUUAAUAAUAAAUUUUAAUAUCUAAAAAUAUCUUUUAAAUAACCUUAAAUAAUUUUCUUCAAAAGAGAAUUCGUAUACAGGUACAUCGUAGUUAGACCAAUUAAAAGCAUUUGAUGUUGUUGAAAGGAGAAUUCAAAUACAAGCAAUAUUGGAAUAAGAGACCCCCCGAAACUAUACAAUACAAUAAAUUUAAUAAAUAUAUAUAUAUAGCUUUAUUUGGUGGUGAAAUGGUGAUAAAGAGAAGAAGAAGAAGAACGUGAGAAGCAUGCUUGAGGAUGGAAGAACUUAAAGGCAAAGCAAAAGUAGCAAUCGUUAGGUAAAGACAUGUUGAAAUCUCUCCAUCUAAUAUUGUAGACAAGCCUCCCACCGUUUUAUAUACUAACUCAGACUGCAAAUUUUAUGAUUUCUCAUUGAAUUGAACCGUUGAUGAUGCAGUCAAAAAUUUCAGCAUUGAUAUCCACCAAGAAAAUUUCCUUAAGUCUAUGAGCAAUGCAUGAAGCUCGCAAAGAUUAUCAUCAGGUGACUGCUUUGAUUGCUAGAAUCUAGCAUUUUUCAAAAUGGGUGAAAGGAAUAGCAGGGCAUGGUGGUGACUAAAGCUGUUAUAUCAAUGUUGGUUUUAUAGGUGUCAAUCAACAUGUUUAAUAUACUUUGUUUGGGUCAUGCCAACUUCUCUAAAGAAAUACACAAUAUCAACAUAAGCAGCUUUAAAAUAAAAUUAAGGUUAAAAAUAUCAAAUAAGUUUUCUGAAAAUAAUUUUAAAAUAAUUAAUUAACUAUUUGUUAUAAGUUGACCCAAUUAAGUCCUUUGAAUUAUUAUUUGUACUUAAAUUGAGCUAUUUGAAUUCAUUUUUUCAUUAGAAAUCCAUAAUGAAUCGUUAAGUGAUAAGUGACAACUUACAUGACUACUAACAUAAAAAUAUAAUUUUGGGGUAAUUGAUAUGGCAAGUUGACACGACAUGGAGGGCUUAAUUGAUUUUUUUAUUGUUUUAGGUGAGACUAAUUAAUUGUUUAGUCCUAUUUAAGGAAAAAAUAAUUAAGUCUUUCAUGUCAUUAUUUUUUCUCGUCAUCUUGCUAUGUCAACUGUCUUGUCAGCAAAUGAAUUCAAUGAUUCAAUUAGACACAAAUCAUUAUUCAAAUGGUUUAAGUAGAUGCGUUUUUUGAUGAGAAUAUAAUUAAUUUUUAAUCAUUUUCAAAAGAAUUUUAAUAUGUUAACAAAAAAAUUUAUUAACUAGUUUUUAAAAUGAAUAAUUAUAUUCUCGUUGUAUUUAAUUUUAUUACCCAACAUGAUUUUUUUAAGAACAUAUAGAAUCAAAAUAGAAUUAUUUUUUCCAUUUAAGUAAACAUGUGUAUCGUAUUUUUAUGCACAAAAAACUGACAAAUUAAAAAAAAAAAAAAGAAACUUCAUUUUGUUGGUAAUCAGUAUUGUAUAGGUGAGUGUAUCGUUUUUCUAUUAAAAUUGAUACAUAUUGAUAUCAAUUUAUUUUGAUGUAUCAUUUUAAAUUUAUUAAUUUUUAAAAAAAUUUAAUAUAUCAAAUGAAUUAAAUUAAAUAAAUUUAAAUAAAAUAUUAAUUGAUUAUAUAAAAAAUUCAUUAAUAAUUUUCAAAAAUAAAAUUUUAUCAUUUAAUAAAUUUAAAAUAAAAAAAAUUCCCACACAUUAAACCACAAAAUUAUUCACAAAUUUAUUUAAAAAAAUAUACAAUAAGAUCGUCUCGUACUAAAUAUAUAAAAUAAAAGUUUAAUAAAACAUACGUAAAAUAUUUUGUGAAGCAUGUAAAAGUUUUAUUUAUUUUUUAAUUUGUUUGAUAUAUAAAUUUUUGUUUUUUUAUAAAGUUCAAAUUUUAAAUUUGAAACUUAAACACCUCCGUUUAGCAUUGCUUUUUUUGGUUGAAAAUUAAAUAGUUCCAUUUAAUAAUGAUUGCAGCCUUACACCUUACAAGUGGAAGGCUCUUUUUGACGAUACCGCAAUCAAAAUCUUAUAAUGUCAAAUUCGUAUAUUCUGAUUGUCAUCUCAUUUACUCCGCAAAAUCCAACCCUUUUGCUCUGAUUUGUUAAGCUUUCCGUAGCUUGAAUUUAAGGUUUUUUUUUUUUAAAUUGUGUGAAAUUUAUGUAUCUAAAAUAUAAAUUUGUGUUAAAAAUAAUAUAAAAAACAAUAAAAUGUUAAUGAAUAAUGAUAUGUAUGAUUUGUUAAUUACAAAUAACAAAUUGUUUUAUUAUUAUUUUAUAUUGAUUUGUUAUUUUUAGUUAUUAAAAUGAAUCUUGUUUCAAAUAAUUAAAAGAAAAAAUUGAACAGUAACAUUUCAAUGAAAAAGAGAAUCUUUAUCGACAAAGUUCCAUCAAAUAAAACUAUGAUUUUUUUUUUUGUAAAACUAAAAGUAUAACAACAAGGGUAAUUUACCAAUAAAAAGUCUUUUUUUUAAUUACCGAAAUGGGCCUAUUUUUUAAUUAUUUACCGAAAUGGUCCCUUUCCGGGAAAUCACGUCCACGUCAGCGCGAUAUCAGGGUACGCGUCAGGAAAUCACGUCCACGUCAGCACGAGAUGCUGACGUGGAAGGAAAUCGCGCUAUCAAGGACGCGAUUUCCUUCCACGCUAGCAUCUUGCGCUGACGUGGACGCGAUUUCGGCCCGUGCGUGAACAGUACCCAAGAGUCAAAAAAAUAAAAUACCGGGCCCAUUUCAAUAAAUUUUAAUAAUAUAGGGCUUUUUUGGUAUUUUGAAAAAAUAAAUUUUGAAUCUUUUUGUAUUUGUAUUUAUUUUUUUUAAUCAAUUAACUCUUCAAUAUUACAUCAAUAGCAACAAGUACAAAAAAGAUUCAAAAUUGUUACCAACAAAAUUUGAACCAAGGUACUAAGAGAAAAGAGCAAGUAUCUUAACCAACUAAGCUAAACUAAUUAAUUGACAUAUUAUAGAUAUACUGUUAUUAUCUUAAUUAUAUUACUUACGUUCUAACGAUUUAUCGGACCUAUUCCAUACACGUGUCAAAUCAGAAAAAAUAAUACAACAAUUCUGUAAAAAAAAUCCGGUGUUCACUUCAAAUAAAUAAGGAAAAUAAUGAUUUGAAUGUUUCAAAAUUCAAUUCAUAAACAAAUAAAUGCUGUUAAUUUUGAAUAAAUAUGAAUUUUAUAUGCUGAUUUAAAUUUUAUGAAUAUAUAUAAGUGUUGGCCGAAUGUUUAAAAGCUUGGGAGCUAUGUUUACGAGAUCGAUUCGAUCGUGUAACAACCCGAUUUCGAUCCUAAUCGGAAUAGUAGUUUCGAAACCAUAAAUCCGAGUCAAAAACAAUUUUAAAUAUUAUUUUUUGUGUUUAUAAUUUGUGAAUUAAUAUGUGUGAAAAUUUUGUGAUUUAAUUUUACUGUUUGUGUGUUUAAUUUGAUAAAAGGACUAAAUCGCAAAAAGUGUGAAAGUUCUAUUUUACAAUCUAAAGGUGUCUAAAAGCUAUAGAAUAUUAAUUGGAGGUCCCUAAUGUGGAAUUAGGCCUUGUUUAGGGUGGUGGCUGGCCACAGGGACAAAGAAAAGAUUUGGUCAAUUGGUUAGGUAAAAAUUUGGUGACUAAAUUGAUUUUUAUCAUAAAAUAAAGAAAAGAGUGAUAUCAUCUUUUCUUCUCCACCUUCACCACCGAAAUUUAGCAAAAUAGGGGUUUGAGAGCUCAAAAAUUUCGGCAAGCUUUUCUCCUUACAAGUAAGUGUUUUGAUGAUCAUUCUUUGAUAAUUUUUGUACUUUUGGAACCCUUGUAGCUUGAGCUAGCUAAUGAGGGGACUAUUUUGCAAAUGGUUGGAAGUCUAGGGUUUUGCCAUGUGAGCCUUUAUGUUGGUUGCUGCAUUUUAUGGAAGAAAAUGAGUCUUAGUUGUUAAAUAAACAACUUUUGUGAAAGGUGUUACCAUGAAAACACCUAAAAGGACCUUUUUUGUAAAGGUUAUAAAAUAGGUGUUAAAUAUGUGAAAUAAAUGACAUGUAUGGACUUGUAUUACUCUAGGGAAUAUUCGGCCAAGCUAUAGUGUGGUCAAAUUUGGAAUAUUUUGUAUUUUGUGAAAUAGGGACUAAAUUGUGAAAAAUGUGAAAUGUCAGGGCAAAAGUGAAAUUUACUUAUUUAUGCGUUUUUUUGACUGAAUUGAAUGAAAUUAUGUUUGAAUGAGUUUAAUUUGAAUAUGUUUAGAUCAAGAAUUAAAGAAAUCGAACUUGGAUCGGGGGAAAACGAAAGUCGUCGAUUAAUCGUUCCGUUCCGGUUUAUCGUUGUCUGAGGUAAGUUUAUAAGAAAAUAGAUGAUAUAAAUUCUAAAUAAAUAUUAGUUAUAUAUAUGCUGAAAUGAAAACAUGCAAAUAUAUAUAUGUAGCCGAAUGUGUUUAAGUUCGGGUAAUAGAAAUAGACGUGGAUGUGAUUUACCGAUAUUUAGCACUGAGUGUGCGAGUGUGGAAUAGCUAUGGCUAUACGAACAGCACUAAGUGCGCGAAACUAAAAUGACAAUGUUGAAUAACGGGCACUAAGUGUGCGAAACAAAAAUGACGAUGUCGAAUAACGGGCACUAAGUGUGCGAUAUCAAUAUCAAUUUGGUUAAAUAAGAUAGAGCACUAAUUGUGCAACGUCAUUAUAGCUUCGACAAAUUAUUUAGCACAAAUUGUGCAGAUCCAAUGAAUGAUGAAUGUGACAUAUAAGUACAUGAUAUUACAAGUAUGUAAUAGUUAAAUAAUAUAUGAUAUCAAGGUAAGUUGGUUAUUUCAAUUGUGAUACAAAUUAGAUGAUGCAAAUGAAAGUAUGUGUGUGUAUUAAAGAUUAUAUUUGGCCAAAUGGUAAGUGUAUGUGAUAUCACAAUUAUGUUUUUUUUUAUGCUUAUAUAUAUAUGAAUAUGAAUUGAAUAAUUCGGUUAUGUGAUAUUGAACUAUUAAUAACAUUGAAUUGUUUAUUUGCUUAUGACUUACUAUGUGAAAAAUGGCUUAUUUACAUGUGAAAAAUGUUUGCUAUGUUUUGUUAAUAAUGUGGUAAAUAUUUUGAUAUAUAUAUAAAUUCGGUUAUAGCAUAUUAUUGGGAAUUAUCCAUAUUUAUGGAAAAUCAAAGAUAUGGGUAUCAAAUAAUGGAAAGUCAAAGAUAUGGGUAUCAAAUAUUGGAAAGUCAAAGAUAUGGGUAUCAAAUAUUGGAAAGUCAAAGAUAUGGGUAUCGAGAUAUUGGCAUAAUAAAAUCUGAGAUAUUUGCAAUAUAUGGUCCCUAAAUUGUAAAGUGACUUUGCAAGUUGAUCCCUGAACCUCAACUAUAAAUAGGCAUAACCAUCUCUCAUUCUGUAUCUCAAACUUGCCAUUCUCUACUUAAGGCAUUGUUUUCUCUCUCACUCUUUGUAAAUUCUCACUUGUAUUUUGGAGUGAAAUAUAUUUGGUAGUGCCCGAGGACGUAGGCAAAAUUUGCUGAACCUCGUUAAAUUCUUGUGUUCUUUAUUGUAUUAUUCUGCAUGAAUUGUGUGUGUGAUUGUAGUGAUUUAUUGUGCUAUUAAAUUACGAUUGAGGGAUAUUCUGGCUAGGAAAGACCUGGUACUUAAGCGAUCCUUGCGAUCCACCUCUCUUUCCUGGGAAUUGAACUUAGUGUGAUUUUUUAGUACAAUAAUUUUACUCUUUUACACGCUUUCGCACAACAAUUGGUAUCAGAGCUAGAUUCGUACUUGGGGAAUACGAUCGUUCACGGCACUGUUCACGUACUGUAGUUGGGAUUGAGGAGAAAAAAAUGGAAAAGUCAUCGUCAAAGACUACUGUGACCAAUGCGAAAUUUGAAGUAGAGAAAUUUGAUGGUACCAAUAAUUUUGGUAUGUGGCAAUGUGAGAUCCUGGAUGUCUUAUGUCAGCAAGAGCUGGAUAUAGCCCUUGAAGAAAAACCUAACAAGAUGGAUGACAAGGAGUGGGCCAAGAUCAAUAGACAGGCUUGUGGAACAAUUCGCCUAUGUUUGGCCAAAGAGCAGAAGUACUCUGUCAUGAGGGAGACAUCAGCGAAGAAGUUGUGGGAUACACUGGAAGAAAAGUUUCUAACAAAAAGUCUUGAAAAUAGGCUUUAUAUGAAAAAGAAACUUUAUCGAUUCACGUAUGCACCCGGUAUGUCGAUGAAUGACCAUGUGAACUCAUUCAAUAAAAUUUUAGCAGACUUGCUAAAUUUGGAUGAGAAAUUUGAAGAUGAAGAUAAGGCAUUAUUGUUGUUGAAUUCCCUUCCUGAUGAAUAUGAUCAUCUUACCACCACAUUGCUUCAUGGGAAGGACACGAUCACAUUUGAUGCAGUCUGUAGUGCGUUGUAUAGAUCUGAGACUCGAAAGAAAGAUAAAAGAGAUCACAGAGAUACAACCGCAGAAGUCUUAACAGUAAGAAGUCGUUCACACAGCAGCAAAUCUAGUAGAAGGGGAAAGUCCAAAGGGAGACCCGCCAAAGAUGAAUGUGCCUUUUGCCGUGAAAAAGGGCAUUGGAAAAAGAAUUGUCCUAAGCUACAAAAGGGCAAGGCUAUUUCUAAUGCAUGUGUAGCGGAGCAUGAUGAGGAGUCAGACUUUAGCUUGGUUGGCAUGGCAAUGGCAUGUCAAACGGAUGAGUGGAUUUUGGAUUCAGGAUGUACUUACCAUAUGUGUCCUAAUAAGGACUGGUUUUCUAGUCUUAAAGAGCUAGAAGGUGGAAUUGUUCUUAUGGGAAAUGAUAGUGCUUGUAAGACAAUGGGAGUGGGUACAGUCCAAUUGAAGAAUCACGACGGCUCAAUCCAAGUCUUGACAGAUGUUCGCUACGUACCUAGCCUGAAGAAAAAUCUCAUCUCAUUAGGUGCCCUAGAAUCUAAAGGGCUCACAAUCACUUUGAGAGAUGGAUUACUAAAAGUAGCAGCUGGGCAACUGACGGUGAUGAAAGGCACAAGAAGAAAUAACUUGUAUUUUUUAAAUGGAAGUACAGUUAUUGGAUCAACAUCAACAUUUUCUACAAAAGAUGUAGAUUCAGAGGCUACCAGAUUAUGGCAUAUGCGAUUGGGACAUGCUGGUGAAAAAGCUUUGCAGACAUUGGUGAAGCAGGCUUAUUGAAAGGUGCAAAUUCUUGCAAAAUGGAAUUCUGUGAACAUUGUGUUCUGGGCAAGCAGAAGAGGGUAAAAUUUGGUCCAGCAAUUCACAAUACGAAAGGAAUUCUGGACUACGUUCACAGUGAUGUGUGGGGACCUACCAAAGUAGCUUCUUUGGGAGGUAUGCACUAUUUUGUUACUUUUGUUGAUGAUUAUUCAAGAAAAGUAUGGGUGUAUCUAAUGAAAAGAAAAAGUGAAGUUUUGGAUGCAUUUCUGAAAUGGAAGAAGAUGGUAGAGACUCAGACUGGUCGAAAGGUCAAACGACUUCGAUCAGAUAAUGGUACUGAGUACAAAAACGAUCCAUUUCUACAAGUAUGCCAAGAUGAGGGCAUUGUGCGACACUUCACUGUUCGGGAUACACCACAGCAAAAUGGGGUGGCAGAACGAAUGAAUCGAACUAUACUGGAGAAAGUUCGAUGUAUGUUGUCCAAUGCUGGAUUGGGCAAAGAAUUUUGGGCUGAGGCAGUUACAUAUGCGUGCCAUCUAAUUAACCGUUUGCCAUCAGCUGCAAUAAAUGGAAAAACUCCUAUGGAGAUGUGGACUGGUAAAUUUGCUACUGAUUAUGAUUCUUUGCAUGUAUUUGGUUCCACUGCAUAUUAUCAUGUAAAAGAAUCUAAGUUAGACCCAAGAGCAAAGAAAGCAUUAUUCUUGGGUAUAACUGAUGGAGUAAAAGGAUAUCGUCUCUGGUGUCCUGAUACAAGGAAGAUUGUUUUCAGUAGAGAUGUGACUUUUGAUGAAUCAACCAUGUUGAAGUACAAGGAUUCACAAAAGGAUGACAAAACCAGUAGUACUUUGCAGCAGGUGGAGCUUGAAAAGGUUAACGAUUUUCCAGCUAAUAUUGAAGGGACAAAUGAUGAAGAGGUUCCUACCCAAGAAUCUCUACAUCAACAAGAUUCAAUUGCAUAUAGAAGGCCAAGAAGAGAGAUUCGUAAGCCUGUUCGCUUUGAUGAUAUAGUGGCCUAUGCACUUCCAAUUACAGAUGAUGAUGUUCCUUCUACUUACACAGAAGUAAUAAGUAACCCUGAUGGUGUAAAGUGGAAGCAAGAAAUGAAUGAAGAAAUACAGUCUCUUCAUAAAAAUAAGACCUGGGAGUUGGUGACACUACCCAAGGGAAAGAAGGCAAUUGGAUGCAAAUGGGUAUAUGCAAAGAAGGAAGGAUUUCCUGAUAAUAAUGAAAUUCGAUACAAGGCUAGAUUAGUAGCAAAGGGUUACGCUCAGAAAGAAGGAAUAGACUACAAUGAAGUGUUUUCUCCAGUUGUGAAGCAUUUGUCUAUUCGGAUUUUGCUAGCCUUGGUUGCGCAAUAUGAUCUUGAACUAGUUCAGCUUGAUGUGAAGACAGCGUUUUUACACGGUGAUUUGGAAGAGGAAAUCUAUAUGACUCAGCCAGAUGGAUUCAAGGUUGCUGUAAAAGAAAAUUGGGUUUGCAAACUGACAAAGUCGCUUUAUGGAUUGAAGCAAUCUCCGAGGCAGUGGUACAAGCGAUUUGAUCAGUUCAUGAAAGGGCAAAGGUACACAAGAAGUAAAUUUGAUCAUUGCGUGUAUUUUCAGAAGCUACAAGAAGGAACUUUCAUAUACUUGCUCUUAUAUGUUGAUGAUAUGCUAAUAGCAUCUAAGAGCAAAGUUGAUAUUGAAAGAUUGAAGACUCAACUCAAUCUCGAGUUUGAGAUGAAAGAUCUAGGAGAAGCUAAAAAGAUUCUCGGCAUGGAAAUAUGGAGAGAUAGAGCUCAUGAUAGAGUUAGCUUGUCUCAGAAGCAGUAUUUGAAAAAGGUACUACAGCAGUUUGGCAUGAACGAGCAGACAAAACCUGUAAGUACCCCGUUGGCUUCUCAUUUCAAGCUUUCUGCACAACUAUCUCCUUCGACGAAUACGGAACGAGAAUACAUGUUGCAAGUUCCGUAUUCUAAUGCAGUAGGUAGCUUGAUGUAUGCAAUGGUGUGUACAAGACCCGACAUUUCACAGGCAGUUAGUAUAGUGAGCAGGUAUAUGCAUAAUCCUGGAAAAGGACAUUGGCAAGCUGUGAAAUGGAUUCUACGGUAUAUUCAUAAGACCAUGGAUAUUGGAUUACUGUUCAAGCAGGAUACUACACUUGGUAAAUGUGUUGUUGGGUACGUUGAUUCUGAUUAUGCCGGUGAUUUGGACAAACGAAGAUCAACCACUGGUUAUGUGUUUACUCUCGUUGGAGGACCAAUAAGUUGGAAGUCUACACUGCAGUCUACAGUUGCGUUGUCAACCACAGAAGCUGAAUACAUGGCUGUAACAGAGGCUGUAAAGGAAGCUAUUUGGUUACAAGGUAUGGUUAAAACCUUGGGAUUGGUCCAGGAGCAUAUUAAUGUGUAUUGUGAUAAUCAAAGUGCUAUUCAUUUAGCAAAGAAUCAAGUCUAUCAUGCACGUACAAAGCAUAUCGAUGUAUGUUUCCACUUUGUGCGGGAAAUUAUUGAUGAGGGGAAAAUUCACCUUCAGAAGAUUAAGACUGCAGAUAAUCCCGCAGAUAUGAUGACCAAGGUGGUAACAACAAUCAAGUUCGAACAUUGUUUGAACUUGAUCAAUAUUCUGCAUGUUUAACAGUUGAAGAAGGCACUAUCAAGUGUUGUUGACAAAGGCAGAGAGAAUUGUGUGAAGAUAAGAUUACUCGAAUCAAAUCUUCAAGGUGGAGAUUAUUGGGAAUUAUCCAUAUUUAUGGAAAAUCAAAGAUAUGGGUAUCAAAUAAUGGAAAGUCAAAGAUAUGGGUAUCAAAUAUUGGAAAGUCAAAGAUAUGGGUAUCAAAUAUUAGAAAGUCAAAGAUAUGGGUAUCGAGAUAUUGGCAUAAUAAAAUCUGAGAUAUUUGCAAUAUAUGGUCCCUAAAUUGUAAAGUGACUUUGCAAGUUGAUCCCUGAACCUCAACUAUAAAUAGGCAUAACCAUCUCUCAUUCUGUAUCUCAAACUUGCCAUUCUCUACUUAAGGCAUUGUUUUCUCUCUCUCUCUUUGUAAAUUCUCACUUGUAUUUUGGAGUGAAAUAUAUUUGGUAGUGCCCGAGGACGUAGACAAAAUUUGCUGAACCUCGUUAAAUUCUUGAGUUCUUUAUUGUAUUAUUCUGCAUGAAUUGUGUGUGUGAUUGUAGUGAUUUAUUGUGCUAUUAAAUUACGAUUGAGGGAUAUUCUGGCUAGGAAAGACCUGGUACUUAAGCGAUCCUUGCGAUCCACCUCUCUUUCCUGGGAAUUGAACUUAGUGUGAUUUUUUAGUACAAUAAUUUUACUCUUUUACACGCUUCCGCACAACACAUAUAGGUGGAGUGAAAUUGAUAUGUAUUGUUAAUUAUUGAAACUGAUUAAGGUUUAAGUUCAUUCAGAAAAUACUAUUAUGUAUUCAUAUAAGGUGAUGUUUGAUUAUGUAUUCGGCAAUAAAUUAAGUAAUAGAUGUUAGUUAAGUUAUAAUACGUAUUAGCUAGGUAAUAGACAUGUUAUAUAUGCAUGUGGCGUACUUGACAAAUGUUUGAUUUGCAUAUGUGAGUGAUUUUAUAAUUUGGUUUAGUAAUGAAAUGAAUGAAUGGAAGCAUGUAUUGAUUGUAAAAAAAGAAGUUAAUUGUGUCGGUUUGGAAUGAUAAGUUUGCAUGAGUAUUUGGUUUAGAAAUGGUGAACAGUUGUUUAUGAAAAUAUUCGACUAUGAUUUUGAAUUUAAUUUGAUAAGUACGAAAUAUGAUAUAGGACGUGUAUAAUACUGAGCGUUAUUGGUUGAUUUGAUGGAAUGGAUUUGAUGUAUUUAGUAUAAAAGUAGAAUUUUUAACCGAAUAUAGAGGUUUUGGAUAUGAUAGAGUAUUUGAAAUUUGACAUGAAUUAUUACAUAGGAUUUAGGUAAUAUUUUAAUUCGGUCUAGGUGUUGAGUUUGGUAAUCUAUUAAAGGUAGGUUAAAUAAACGUUAUAUGAAAGAUUUAUUAAAUGACCGAUUAUGAGAUAAGUUAGCUUAGUUGUGUGAAUGAAAUUUGGAAUGAUUUAAAGCAUAUGGAAGUGGUAUGUUUUGAUUCGAUUAAGUUCAUGGAAAAUGGUCAAUGAAUGUCAAGUGAACAUUAUAAUAUUUUAUAAAUAAAUGUUGUAAUAUGUGCACUUGGUUUAUAAAGCGGAAUAUGUUUGAUUAUAAAUUAGGUAUUCGAAUAUCAUGCAUGUAAUGCUUGUAUAUUUUGAAUAAUAUAUAUUUUUAAGUAAAGUAGUUUAACUUUGAACCAUGAAAUGUAAUGAAUGCUUGCUUUGAGCUAUGUUCUGUACAGUAAUACCUCGUAACCCAAAUCCGGCGAUAUGGAUUAGGGGUGUUACAAUUACACUCUCCUGUAAUCGUAAAGAAUUGUAACUCCUUAGACUUGUUUGGUUUGACACAAUAUGAUUAUAUUCUCUAUCAUAUUUAGUAGUGCAAACUGUAAUUACAAAUAGGAAUUACGCAAUUAAAUAAUUUAUUAAAAAUAUUAAUUACUAUCAAAAUUACUACUAUGAUAAAAGAAAUUAUGAAUGAGUAAUAAAAAUUAAAAUCAAAUUAGCACAUGUAAUAUAUCAAUUUAAGAAAGUAAUCUAUAAUACAAUUAAUAGUAGAAAUAAAAAAAGUAAACAUCAUAUGCAAUUUUAUUUAAUUACUUUAGCAUUCCAUAUUUGUUGGGUUAUUCCCUUUUUAGCAUUUAACAUAUGCUCAUUGAUAUCAUUUGUUAGUCUUUGACUAAACUCUUCAUCAUUCGAAUUCAAAUUUGAAUUUACAUCAUUAAAAUUAUCAAUAUCUCAUCCUUUCAUGUAGCCUUCAAAGUAUGGAUGAUUCCAAUUUCAUCUAUGAAUAAAGUUACGAAGUAUGCAACAUGUUAAUACAAUCCAAACUUUAUUUUUAUGUUAUACUAAGAUGAUGCCAAUAAGUAUUUGUUUAGAACGACAAUUGUUAUCUCAACCACAUUUUAAAGCUUAGAAUGUGUCAAAUUAAAUAUUUUGUGAGCCGUUUCUAAUGCUUGUGUCCAGCUCCAUUUUCUCAAAUGAUAUCGUACCCAUGAUAUUGUGUAAUAAAACUUUUUAUAUUCAGUUAACUAUCAUAUACUGCAAAAUAUUUAGGUUCUUAGUGUAACCAAUAUGUAGUUUUGAUUAUAAAAACUCAUAUAAACUUAAUUUAGAGAAAAUUUUAUACUAAAUUAUAACUUUUUUUUUAAACUUAAAUUAAUAUUAAAUUUUAUAACAUAUAACCUUUAUAAAAAAAAUUAAAAAGUUCCAAAUAACUCAUAAAUAAUAUAAUUUUUUACCAUAAUUUUAAAAAGUUAUUUUUUUUAUAAAUAAGUUAUAACACUUCUUUUUUUUAAUAAACAAAAUGUAUUAUUUUAUGAUAUAUAAAAUGGACACAGAAAUAAGUUACAUUCAUUUUUUUUUCUACAACUUUUACAUUAUAACAUUUUUAUAAUAUACUUUUUGACCACGACUUAUAGGAUUUAAAUAAUAUAAUUUUUUGUUAUAACUUUAUAAAAUACAUAAAUUAUUUUUUAUGAUAUACUUUAUUAAGAUUUAUAAUAUAACUUUAAAAAUUUUAGAUAUAACCAUCUCAAACAUUCAUAUAUAUUCAUACUUAUAAUAUAAUUUUCACAAUUUAAACUUUAUAAAAAAUAAAAAUUUAAAGUUAAAUUAUACAUGAGUGUUUGAAAAGUCAUAGGGUAAUUGGAGUUGGGUGUAAUUAUCUGCGUAAUUAUUCAGAUUCUUGCACACACUCUAAGAAUUGAAAAGUGUAAUUGAAGUGCUUUAAUUACAAUAAUUAUUCAAACAUGUCAUCAUUAUGUAAUUAUAAGUAAUAACACCCAAAUUUAAUUACUAGGUGGCUUUCUAAACACUACCUAAUGUGUAAAUUUAUACAUUAUUUGUUCGCCAAAAAAGAAAAACAUUAUUUCCUUUGCUAGACGUAAUAUUUUAAACAUAUUUUAGCAGAUGAGUUAAUAAUAAGCUAACUUUGAUUUUUUUAGUAUAAAAAUAUUUCAAACACAUUUUAGCACAUGAGUUAGCAAUAAGCUAAUUUGGUUAUUUAAUUUUUAGUCACUCACAUAAUUUAUUUAUAAAAAAAAAUUAUUUGAAGAGGUAUUGUUUUAGAAUUUCCAUCCUUUAAUUUAAAGCUUAAUUUUAUAUUAACUAUCUUCUAUUCUUUUAAUAUAAUUAUAGUUCGAAAUCAAGUUAUUUUAAAAAAAUAAGCAAUCGAUAAUAAACUAUAACUUAAGUCAAAUGUUUAAUUUUUUUAAGUCGUAUAAUAUUUUGGGUCAAAACAAGUUUUGAUAAUAUCUAUUUUUUCAACACAAUAUGUUUAAAACUAUCCAUAAUCCAUUUCUAACCUAUAAAUAGGAGAAUAAUAAGCUUCAACAAAUUCGAAUCCACGUCCUCCUGCAUAAACAAUAAUAUUCAUACUAACCGAAUUAAGACUCAAUCGGCAUUACUAUUUAUAUUUUCAUACUAGAUCUAACGUAAUAUUAUACUAUAUCGCUGCAAUAAUGAUAGGAAAAUCAAUGAAAUUAUCAUGUAAAUAAUAUUAAAUCUUAUAUAACAUACUUAUAAACAUUAACUCAUACACAGUCAGUCAGCAGGUAAUAUCAUAUCUUUAACAUUUAUAAAAAUAAAUACGAAUAAUUUUACUGUUAAUAAUGUUUAUGGCGAAAGGCCUCUUUAAAAUAAUUACAUUUAUGAAUAAAUUCAUUACAAUUAACGAUAGUAUCACGAAAAUACAUUUUGAAAAUAAAUAAGAAUAAGUAUUAAAAUUAUACAUGAACUUCGAUUUAACGUGUGAUGUUAUGCAUAAAUUUUAGUUUUACGUGGUUUUAUACAUAAAAUUUUUAUUUGAUUUAAUAUUCAUAAGUCAUUAACAACAUUAUCGAGUUAACACUAUUUUACAUUUAUAUAUUGCAUAUACAAACAAUUGUAUUAAUUUAAUAUACAAAUAAAUAUAUACAAUUAAAUCAAAAUAAAAAUUUAUUAUUUAUAAUUAUAUCUAAAUUUAAUAUUUAUCCCAGUAAAAUAACUCCACAUAUAUCAUGUAAUUAACGCUAAUUAGCAAUGGGAUGGUAGUUUUCUUUUUUAUUACAUUUAUUUCUCUUUGGAAUUUAUUAAACAAGUGGAAAAGAAAAUUUAAAUUACAAAUGAGUUUUCCCCCCCGGAGAAACAGAUAGUAAAAUAACUAGAGAACCGUAAAAUUUUAGGAGUUUUUUAAAAGUCAUCAAGUGAUUUAAUAAAAUAUAAAUUAUAUUUAAAGUUGAUAAUUAUACAUUCUUUAUUAUUUAUUUUAGUAUUUUUAUAAAUUUUGUGACUGAAUUUAUGUUGGAUUUAAUAAUAUUGAAAACGUUAAAUUAUUAUUUUUUAAAUGUCUCAUAUUACAACGUAAAUUCCGACUUCGAGCAGAGGUAAGGGUAAAGUUAUCAAUUAACGCCAAAGGCAAUCUAAGGGAUAAAGACGUAAUUAUGUAUAUAAAAUAAUAAAUAUAAUUCAGAAUCAGAUGCAUAUAAAUCAAAAUAUCGACUCAAAAAAGAAAAAAGAGAAAAAAGAAGAAAAGAAAAACCCUUUCCAAAGAAGGGUUUGUUUUUCCUCAACACCGUCCUCACAUCCUUUUUCUCUUCUCUUCUUUGCGCCACCCGCAGAAGAGAGAGAGGAAAAAAGAAACUCACUUUCAUCACGUCUCUCUCUCUUAGAUAUAAAAAAUCUUCCUUCCUUUUCGGGUUCUUCUUAUUCAACAUUCAGAUUCAGCGUUUUAGAUACCGCUGAGUUGUUGGUUUUUAUAUAUCGGACGGCUGAGAUUGGAUCUUACCUGAGAAAAGAAAUCGAGGUAUGCAGCAAGGUGAUCAGACAGUGUUGAGCUUAAGACCUGGUGGUGGUCGAGGGAGUAGAUUCCUUGGUGGUGGUGGUUCUUCUUCAUCGUCAUCAUCUUCUUUAUCUUUUGGUUCACUUUCUUCUGAUCUUCCACUUUUCCUUCCUCAUGGCGGUGCUCCUUCUUCCUUUUCCAUCAAGGUUAUAUGCCUGUUUUUUUUGGAUCUAGCCUUUUUGAUGUUGACUUUAGUUGCUUUUUUUUUAAAUAAAUUAAACUGCUAGUGUAGCAGCUAUUAAGCACUACUCUUUUGAGAUUGAAUAUUUGAUAGUAGAUUUGAUUUUAUCUGAGAUAAAACAUUUACAUCUUUUGUUUUUCGUGACUUAGUUUCUAACCUUAUCCUUUUUGGUUUAGUAGCAUACUUGUAUUUUCUUUAAAUGGAAUGCGCAGGGAGAUAUCUUUUGGGCAUUUAAAAGAGGAAGAAUGUGUUUAGCUUUGUUCUAAUUCUUGAUGGGGCACUUAGUAUGUGUACUUGACAAAGAAAAAAAAUGUAGUCCUUAGUUGGGAAUUUUUUGAGUUGAGUGCCUAAAGAACCUACAAACCCAAGUAUCUUAUAUAUAUAUUUUGAAACAAAUAUAGAUAUUCCGUUUUUUGAAGAGCAAUGCUUGUCCCAAAGUUUAUUUCAGCACACGGGCAAGUUUUUUUAGCACGCAGGAGAACAUAUGAAAUCAAUCAAAUUCAGUUGUGGAGUUUUGAAAUAUUAGAUAAUAAUAUAUAGUUCUAUAGUUUCAAAUUCUAUUUACUUGGAGAAAAUUAGCUAAUACAAUUGAGUUGAUGUUUUAAUUGUAUGGACCCUUUUUUCCCAUAAUGAGUAACUAAUUUAUCAGUUGCUUUACUGUUGUAGGCAGGAGACUCACGAUUUGAUGGGCGUGAAUGUGUGCGGUACACUAGGGACCAGCUUUUGCAGCUUAGGGAGGUAAUUGCACGAACUUGUGCUUAGUAAUACACUUAAUCUGUGCGUCAGCAGCCUAUUGUUGCAUUUUACAUCUAAAAACCAAACAGAAAACCAGUAUGCCUUUAUUUGCAUGCAAGGAAGUUCUUCAAUGUUGUUAGCAUUCUGCUUCAAUUAUAAUGAGUUAGUCAUGCAAAUAAGCUGUUCAGCAUUUUUCCUAAUUGGUUUUGGUUCUACUGAAUUGAAAGUUAGGGCAGUUUGACUUUUCGUAUAGAAUAUAUGAUUAUGUUUGCCAUCACUUUAGGCUGUAGAGGUUUCUGAGGAGAUUCUUAAAAUCAAACGAGAAAUUGAAGUGGAACUCUUUGGUGAAGAUCAGAACUGGGCUCGUGGAGAAAGCAAUGUAAGCUCUAAGUGCUUGCUUGUUUUUUUUUUUUACUUUUUAACGAUCUUAUUCUUGUAGCAACAAACCGCCAUGACAAAAUUCCUGUAUUUCCAGAUAUUACUACCAAGCAGUCAUUCUUUGUUAACAUUUGUCUAUUUUAUUAUUAUUAUCUUUUUCUAGUCAUCAAAUCAGGUUCCGACCCGUUAUACUGAGCCUGACAAUCGUGAUUGGCGCAACCGCUCAGCACAGUUUCCUUCUACUGGAGAGGAGAGGUCCUGGGAAUCACUUCGGGAUAGAGAAUCUGGAAACCGAUAUGACUCCAGACAGCCUGAAGCUAAUCAAUUUAAUCGACAAGAUCAGCCUAACCCUCAGUUCUCAAGGGCACAAAUCUCUUCUAACCAGGGGGUAAUUCUCAUAAAACGAGAUUCUUUUUGUUUUUGAGAUAUCAUUUGCCUUUUUUUCUUUUUGUUACAGGAGAUAUCACUUCUUGGGGUUGUUAGGUGGGUAUUUAAGGCAUUUUGUGACAUAUUACUUGGUCAAUGAGCUUUUUGUACGUAAAUUUACAUUGGGCAUUAGUGAUGCAUUUGCUGUUCUGCUCCACUUGACAUCUUGACCUCUAGGCAUUUAGUUCAAUCAGAGAAAAUUAAUUGAAUGAGUACACCAUUGAUUUUUUGUUUUUAAUAAUUUUUAUGUAUGAUAAUAGAUGGUUAAACAGUGUUGGUAACCUUAUAGUUAGGAUUUUUCUUUUCUAUUAUUUAUUAACUCAUCUGCUUCAUUUCCGAUGCAUUUUCUCAAUUUUUACAUAGUGAUGACAUUCUAUGGACUUUGUCACCUGCUUUGUUCAUAUUAUUUACUCCUGUAACUCUUAGGAGAAUCAGUUAUUUCCUGCAGCAAUAUAUGUCUAUAAUUUGGUUUUGGCAUUAAUAUUCCUUUCCUUUGUUGGACCAGGGAGGACCAACUCCAGCCUUGAUUAAGGCUGAGGUGCCAUGGUCAGUCAGAAGGGGUAAUCUUUCUGAGAAGGAGCGUGUCCUAAAAACUGUAAAAGGGUAAAUAUAUUGAAAAUAUGUUUCUUGCAUCUUACAUUGAAUCAUACACAUUCUAUUGAUUUUAUUGAUAAACCAUUAAUUUAAAUGGCUGGUCACAUGGGAAGAUAUUUUUUCUUUCAUAGCCAAAUUUAUCUUCUAUUGUGCAUGCAGUUAUUGUUCACAGUUUUUUAAAAUCUUGUAAAGUGGUUUUGAUAUCAUUUUAUGAUAUUGAUAGUUAAUUACUGUUUCUUGUAAAUGGUUUUGUUUUAUGUGCAGUAUAUUGAACAAGUUGACUCCUGAGAAGUAUGAUCUUUUGAAGGGCCAACUUAUUGAUUCAGGCAUCACAUCAGCUGACAUCUUGAAGGUUAUUAUUUUUGCUUUCUUGUUAUUUUUUUUACUUCACUGCACAAUGUUUUGUGCAUUCGCACUUGUUUGUACAUUCUAUUUGUAUGAAUGUAUAUAUAUGCAUACCAGCUUCAUACGUUUCACUUAAUAUUUGUGUUCUUCUAGUUACUGUAUUUGCAAGUGACAUUAGUAGUGACAUCACUGAUGGUAUCUCUAUUAUCUUUACAGGGUGUUAUUUCUUUAAUUUUUGAGAAGGCUGUUUUGGAACCCACAUUUUGCCCUAUGUAUGCUCUUUUAUGCUUUGAUCUUAAUGAUAAGCUCCCCUCAUUCCCAUCCGAUGAACCUGGUGGAAAAGAAGUUACUUUUAAGCGAGUCCUGCUGAAUACCUGCCAGGAGGCAUUUGAGGGAGCUGAUAAGCUCAGGGAAGAAGUGAGGUUGAUGACAUCUCCCGAGCAAGAGAUGGAGCGCAGGGAUAAAGAAAGGAUGGUCAAGCUCCGGACUCUUGGUAACAUUCGUUUAAUUGGUGAGCUUCUGAAGCAGAAAAUGGUACCUGAGAAGAUAGUCCAUCACAUUGUGCAGGUUAUUGCCAAUACUACGUUUCUCAUCAAUCGAACUUGAAUAAUUGGUAAUUUACUAAAAUAAGCUUUUUGCCUAUUCUGCUGGACAGGAACUUUUGGGUCAAGAUUCUAAAGCUUGCCCUGCCGAGGAGAAUGUUGAAGCCAUUUGUCAGUUCUUCAAUAUUAUUGGUAAGCAGCUUGAUGAGAGCCCAAAAUCACGGCGCAUAAAUGAUGUGUACUUCAACAGACUGAAGGAAUUGACUACAAAUCCUCAGCUUGCACCGAGACUAAGAUUUAUGGUUCGAGAUGUUCUUGAUCUGCGUGCAAACAACUGGGUUCCAAGGCGUGAGGAGGUAACUCAUAAAUGCCAUCAAAUUUUUUGUUAAGAUUAGAUACAAUGUUGAGACGUCCAUUUUAAUGGGUUUUGAUGUCCCUUUUUUGCAUUGAUUUUUGUAGGUGAAAGCCAAAACAAUUACAGAAAUCCAUUCAGAGGCUGAAAAGAAUCUUGGGCUGCGUCCAGGCGCUACUGCAAGUAUUAGAAAUAGUCGUGUUGUUUCUGUUGGUCCAAUGAGUCCUGGUCCUGGUGGUUUUCCUAUCAAUCGUCCUGGUACUGGGGGUAUGAUGCCUGGAAUGCCAGGAACUAGGAGGAUGCCUGGAAUGGAUAAUGAUAAUUGGGAGGUUCCUAGAAGCCGGCCAAUGCCAAGGGGUGAUGGACUGGGUACCCAGUCUGGAGGGCGUGGUGCCUCACCAGUAGUCAAUAAGUCAACUUCAAUGAAUCAAAGGCUAUUACCUCAAGGUAGUGGUGGCCUAAUGAGUGGUAGGACAAGUGCCCUGUUGCAGGGUAGUUCAACCCCUCCUGCUAAGCCACCCAACUCAAUUUUAGGUGCUGAGUCUGUUGCACAACCUUCUCUUUCCCCUAAACCUGCUCCGGUGGAGAAACCACUAACUCAGGCUGCAAGGCUGAAUACAGAUGAUCUUCAGAGAAAAACACGGGCAUUGUUAGAGGAAUAUUUCAGCGUUAGGCUACUAGAUGAAGCAUUACAGUGCGUGGAGGAACUAAAAUCUCCAGCAUACCACCCUGAGGUUGUUAAAGAAGCGAUCUCCAUUGCUUUGGAGAAAAGCCCACCUUGUGUUGAACCCGUUUCAAAGCUUCUGGAGUACUUGUUUAUUAAGGAAGUUCUCACAGCUAGAGACAUUGGUACUGGAUGCCUACUUUAUGGUGCCUUGUUGGAUGAUAUCGGCAUUGACUUGCCGAAAGCACCAAAUAAUUUCGGAGAAAUAAUUGGAAAACUUGUUCUGGCUGGGGGAUUAGAUUUCAAGGUGGUGAAGGAAAUCCUUAAGAAGAUGGAAGAUGACAUGUAUCAGAAAGCUGUAUUCGAUGCAACAAUGAGGAUCAUUAGCUCAGAUCCUUCGGGGAAAGCUCUCUUGGAUGCUCAGGCGAUCAACAUUGAUGCAUGUACGAGUCUAUUCUAAAUUUUGCAAUCUACUUCACGUUACUAUAUCUGUCCGACCAUCCCAUCCAUCCAUCCAUCCAUCCGUAGCUUUUUAUCACCACUUCAAGAUAAUGUCCCCUGCCGGUUUUACCUGUCUUCGAGGCGAGCAGCUUGUAGUAUUUUUGAUUGAUGAAGUUAGAGCUACCUGCAAAGGACAGGUGAAAUUUUAUUGAGUUGUAUGUUUUUCUCCGGGUUGAUAGAGGUGUUUUAUUGAGAAAAAAGAAAUCCAAACAUAAAUGUCAUGUACAUUACCUUUUAGGAAAAGUGCAUGCCAAAAUUCUCGGGGAAAAUUGGUCUCCCUUCAUUUAAGGGAUCCAGUUGUUUUUUUGACACAGUUAUUUAUUUAGUUUAUUGAACUUGGUCAAGUUUUGUUCCGUCUUUAAUUGAACCCAACAUAAUUUAAAUUUCAUUUCAUAUAUUUAUCUCUAUAUAAGCAUGAAUGUUUGGAGCUGCAUUUGUCACAAUGCUUGCAUUUUAUGUUAUGUACAUAUUUGGUGUGCCAGACUGCCAGCUAAAGUGAAUUUCUUUUUUCUAUGAAAUUGUGGUUUGGUUGGUGAUUGUAUCAUGAUUUUUCAAAGACCAGCACGAAUUAUUGAGUUUUACUGAUUGGAAAUUGAUUAUUUGUUUUUGUUAAUUUUGAGCUAAUAUUAUACAAUGAAACAGUUUUAAAUGGUAACUCCCUUGCACUGGAAUUAUUUUUUUUUUUAUAAUAUAUGAAGAUAAAUGUGAAACUAGGUUUAAUUUCAAUGAAAUUAAAUAAUUGUUUAAAUCGUUUAUUUAGCCUCUAAACCUAACAAAUUUAAACUAAAUAUGGUCACAUGAAAUUGAUGAUUCUUGUAAAAUUGGUAUUGAUGAUUCUUCCUACUUUGGAAGGUUUAGGUUAAAAUAAUUUAUUUAGAUAAAUUAAAUUAAUUAAAAUAAAAGGUUGGCUUGAGCUUAUUAGUCUUAUAUAUUAUAUGAUUUGUAGCAUAUAUAAAUUAAAAAUAAUACAACUUUUUGUAGAAGAAACGUGGAACAGCUUCAAAUGAUUUUAGUUUUUUUCUUUUUCGUAUUUCAUGUUUGUUUUAUAAUUCAUAUUUGGAAUUAGUAAUCGUUCCUUUCAGCAAAAUUGAUUUCAAAGUUUGAAUUUACGUUUUCUUUUUGAGAGUAUAAUACAUCUUACCAUUACAUUUAAUACUUGUUGGAAGAUUAAUAUUUAUAAGUAUGAAUGUAUUAAUAUCAUAUAUAAAUUUGAGUCGAAUAUGACAAAACUUGAUCAUGAACACUUCUUAUUGUAGGGGUGGCAAUGGAGCGAGAUAGGAGUUGAUGUAGUUAGAGACAGAUCUAGGAGGCUGGGAGGAGCCUUAACCCCUUAAAAUGAAAAAUUUUCUAUUUGAGUAUUUUAUAAUUUAUAAAAUUUUAAAUUAGUAAUGAUAAAAUUAUAUUUUGACUCCCAAAAAGAUAAAACUUUGAUUUAGACCUCUAAAAAUUAUAAAGAUAUAAACUAUUAAAAUAACAAAAUUAAAUUUUUACUAUUAUAAAAAUGUAUAAUUAAUUCCGGCCCAUCCCAAAAUUUUUGGACUUCACCUGCCCCUAAGUCAUAUUUCUAGAUCCGCCACUGAAUGUAGUUAAAUUUACCACUACUCCAUAGUUGGUGUGCUUUGAUCCACCGACUACACCGCUCCGUUAUAAAUAUAUAUUCUUAAAAAUUAUUAUUACUUUCAAAGUGUUGAUAUAUCCAUUUCUACCCCACUUCUGCUUUAACUUUCUUUUUAAUGGAAAGGCUCCGUUUAAAUUUAAUUUAUGUUAUUUUAAUAUUUUCAAUAUUUUUUAAUAAAAUAUUUAAACAUAAUUCUUCAAAUAAUUUAAACAUAAAACAUAUAAAUUUUGUGAACAUAUUAUUACAAGUUUACCCUUUUUAAUAUAUAUAAUUAAAAAGAAACCUCAUUUCUAGUUUCCCUUGUCUACAUGCAUCUCUCAUGAAUCACGCGAGUAUUGAUUGUGUCAGCGCCGUGUCCGAUUCGUGUUUGAUUUCUUUCGUUCCGUUUCCCGGCGUUUCAGACACCGGUACGAGGGUUUCCAGCAUUAGUGCUUUAAAGAUUGGAGAAUGAGUUCGAGAAAAGGAGGAUCAAAAGGGAAAGAGGUAUCUGGAGUCUCUCGUCCCAAGGUUGACCAGCUAAGCCAUGGUGUAGCGGAAAUGAACAUGGAUUCUUCACAAGAUGAUGGUGAGUGGGAAGUUAUUCAAAGAAAACCCAAGAAUACAGGUGGAAGCAGUGGUGCAAAGCCAUGGGGGUCUCAAAAUUCCAACCCUAAACCUUGGAAUGGAGGCAUGCGGGGUAAUGCUGGACCUGGAAGAGGCACCGGCGGCAAUGCUUGGGCUAAUCAUGGUGCUGAUUCUAGGAUAGCAAGUGGCCGAGGGAAUUCAAGGCCCCAAAUAGUCAACAAGAGCUUGGACAACCACCAAGUGCCUUCCAAUCCUGUCAUUCGCCCGCCUCUUGAGCAUGGUUGGAAUUGGCAAUCAAGAACUGGUUCCAAUCCAUCCAAGGGUUUUCAAGAUGGAUAUGAGAAAGACAAUGUCAACGCUGAGGCUGAAAAAGACAACGAUGUUGAUGAUAUUGAGGAUGAUUCGGAUGAUGUUGCUGCUGAUGAUUCUGACAAUGAGCUUCUAACCGAUGAAUUUGAUUCAGAUUCAAGUCAAAAGAGCCACGAGACAAGAAAGAAAAAUAGAUGGUUUAAGAAGUUUUUUGAUAGUUUAGAUAAGUUGCGCGUGGAAGAGAUCAAUGACCCAGCAAGGCAAUGGCAUUGCCCGGCUUGCCAAGGCGGUCCUGGUGCCAUUGACUGGUAUCGAGGCCUUCAGCCAUUAGGGACACAUGCGAAAACUAAAGGAUCAAAAAGGGUGAAACUCCAUCGUGAACUUGCUGAGCUCUUGGAUGAGGAAUUGCGUAGAAGGGGUACUUCAGUUAUCCCUGCAGGUGAAGCUUUUGGGAAAUGGAGGGGUUUAAAAGAUGACGAAAAAGAUCAUGAAAUAGUCUGGCCACCUAUGGUAAUCAUAAUGAAUACAAGGCUUCAACAAGAUGAUAAUGAUAAGGUACCCCGAGAACUUGUACUAUUUCUGUUUUCCAGUUAUAAUUCAAUGGAAUUUAAUUAAAUCUUUGUAAUUACCGAGGAGCUAUUUAUGGCGUUGUGUACUUCAGUGGAUUGGUAUGGGAAACCAAGAGCUGCUUGACUAUUUCAGCUCAUAUGCUGCCGUGAAGGCUCGCCAUUCAUAUGGCCCACAGGGGCAUCGUGGGAUGAGCCUUCUGAUUUUUGAGAGCACAGCAAGAGGUUAUUUAGAAGCUGAGCGUCUGCAUAAGCAUUUUGCUGAGCAAGGAACGGAUAGAGAGGCUUGGGAACACCGUCAGGUCUUAUUUUAUCCAGGUGGGACGCGCCAACUCUAUGGUUACAUGGCAAACAAGGAAGAUCUGGACAUCUUCAACCAACAUUCUCAAGGUUCUCUCCUACUGAAGACAAUGGUUAUUUGCAUGCAGGGAUAAACUGCGAGAUAACUUUAUUGCACGAAAAGUUUCUUUAUUAUUUUCUGCCGAUUCUUAUGCAUUUAAUUCACUUGUGUGUAAAUGUUAUGUUGAUUAGGAAAAUCUAAGCUCAAAUUUGAGAUGAGAUCUUAUCAAGAGAUGGUUGUUAAUCAAAUCAGGCAAAUGAGCGAGGCCAACCAGGAGCUUAUUUUUUACAAGAACAAGUUUGCUAUACAGCAAAGGCUCAAAACUGCCCUUGAAGAGUCUUUUGGUGUUGUGAGCGAAAAGCUCCGGAAGACAAUGGAGGAGAACAGGAUUGUGAGACAGAGAACCAAAAUGCAGCACGAACAGAACAAGGAAGAGGUAAUUGUUUUAGUUUCUGAUAAUUUACAUCUAAAUGCAGAUGCAAGCUAGUGGCUUUCUUCACAGAUUUGUUGCUAGAUGUAAUGGUUGUGGCGUACUAAUUACUAAUUUAUACCAUAGAACAUAACUUCAUUUUAGUAAGUUACUGGUUGAUCAUAUCUUUGCAACCAUAUUUAUCUUAACUAGCCAGGGAUGAAUAUGAAAACUUUGCUAGUAUCUUUAUAUGUUUGCUAUGCUUAUACAUCUGUGAUCUUAUUUUUGGAUAUAAAAAUUUGGUGGAGAUGAAUAUGAAAAUUUUGCAUCUCCAAGGAAAAUUCCAGGUAGCAUUUCAUUUUUAUUUAGUAGGACCAAGCAGUUUAGUGUGGCCUUAGAACUUUGAGAUGCUUUAACUCGAAAAAACGUCCAUGUCCAAACCGUCUCUUUCAGAGCAUGUUAGUGUCUUCCCUUGAACUUUUCCAUGUACUUGAUAAAUUACAUUCUAUUUGCUAUUCUCUAGUUUCUGUUUGAUGUUAACUGUUUUGUAUAUUGCUCUUCGCAGAUGGAUUUCCAAGAACAAUUCUUCAAGGAACAAAUCAAAUUUAUUCAUGAAGCAAGGGAUGAGGAGGAGGAGAAGUUUGAGAAGCUACAGCAGCAACAGCGUGAGAAGUUUGUCAAGCAAUCUACUCCUAAUACUUCGAAUACAGAGGAAUACAGGCGUAGGUAUGUAAUUUUGAUGCUAAUGUGAAUUUCCAUGUGUAAUCGGAUCGAAACAUGCUAAAAUGCUGCUACACCUUCCUUUUAUUUGUUUAUUAAUUUGUCUACUUCAAUCAUGAGAUAACCCAUUUUUCUUUCUUGUUUCAUUUGUAGGGCGGAUGAAAUUGCAAAAUUCAUAAAGCUCCAGGACGAAGAGAUGGAAGCUUUUGUGUCUGAGAGGGACGAGCUGAUUACCGUACACAAAGAGAAGAUGGCUGCAAUGAGACAGAGGCAUUGGCAGGAAGAAGUUGAGCUCGAAAAGGAGUUUGAUACGGAAUUGAGCCGUCUCAUGGAGAAGUAUACUCCUACUAUGCCUGGAAUGGACAAAUAUAUAUAUUAAAAUUGUUUUCUACAUAGAUUAAAUUUGACUAAAAUAUGGGCGAGACUUCUGAGUUCGAUUCUAGCAUAUAAAACUUAAUAUUAUAAUAAUAUAAUACUAAAAUAUAAACAUUAAAAAUAUCCGUUGUCUAUUUAGAAUUUUAAUAAAAACAUAUUAAAUAAUUACAUAUUAAAUUAAAAAUAGUAUAAGUCUUUUGUAAAAAAAUAUGUGGACGAGCUUCGAAUGAUUUUAGAUUAGUCUUUUUUAUUAUAUAUAUUGGUAGUUGUUCCUCUUAACAAUAUUGAUUUCAAGAUUUAAAUUUACGUUUUUUCUUUGACAGUACCAUGCGUCUUACCAUUACAUUAAUAUUUGUUGGGAGAUUAGUGUUUAUAUAUAUGAAGUGUACCAUACCAUAUAUAAAAUUAAGUUGAAUUUAACCGAACUUGAUUAUGAACACUUUUGGUUGUAGAGAUGGCAAUGGAAUGUGAUAUGAGUAGAGGUGAUCAUGGGUUAGCUGGGCUAGGCCUAGAUAAAAAUUUAGGCCCGUUUUCUAAGUCUGGACUCGGCCUGGCCUAAAAUAUGGGCCUAAAAAUUUGUCUAAGCCUGGCCCAAAAGAAAAUUGCUAAGCUCGAGCUCAGCCCAGCCCAUAUUUGAUUAAAAAUAUAUAUUUAAUAUAUAAUUCGAAUUAAAAGUCUAAAAUAUAUAUAUUUGAUUAAAAAUUAAAAUAUAUAUUUAAUAUAUAAUUCGGGCCGAGUUCGGGCCAAAAAGGUCUUAUUCAAGCUCAUAUUUUAGGCCUAUAUUUUUACCCGAAUCUUCCUAUUUUUUAGGCGGGCCAAGCCGGGUAGCCCAACUCAUGAUCACCUCCAAAUAUGAGUUGAUGUAGCUAAAUCUAUCACUGCUCCAUAAUUGGUUGCUUUGUUCAAUCAAAUGCACCGUUUCACUAUAAAUAUUUGAUUUUAAAAAUUAUUAUCACGUUUUGCAUGUUGGAUGUAUCCAUAUCCAUCUUACUUCGUUUAAAUUUAAUUUUUGUUUCUUUAAAAUUUUUAAUCUUUUUGAUGAAAAAUAAAAUAUUUAAAUAUAAUUUAUUAAAAAAAAUUAAAUUUAAAACAAAUAAAUAUUUUUGUACCAUAUUAUUUACAAUUUUAAUAUAUAUAAAGAUAAAAAAAUCGUUUCAUAUAAUAGAAUAGGGUGAAGCAAGAUAAAUAAUUAUCAUAAUUAUUUUAUAUCAAUUAUAAAAAAAAAUUCUACCAUACCCUGUACACAUUCUUUUUUAAAAGAAAAAAAUUCACUUUAGAGCGGGUGAAUUCAAAAUUCAUUUACUAUCUUUAUUUAAUUAUUAUGUAUAUAAUUGAAGUAAGUACAUUAGGUUAAUUAUAAACAUGGUAAAAAAAUAUCCUACCGAAAAGAAAAUAAAUGGCAAAAAUGAUAUAAGCGUGAUUCAAGGAUGUGUUGUUCGCCUUGUUUUGUAGACUGAAUCCAAUGGCACUGCAUGCAGCACUAUAAUUAUAAUAACAAAAUAAAAAGUAGCACUAAAAUAUUGGUGCUAAUAUCACUGCAAAAAAAAAUAUAAGGUGCAAAACCAGUCAUGGAGAUGGAGCCAAAGAAAGUUAUAAAAACUAUAAUAAUAAAAUAACGCAAUUCCCAUUACGCAGUUUCCCGUAAAAAUCAAUAUUCAAAACACAGCAAAUUACUGAAAUCUCCAUAGCUACAGAAGAGAAAGAGAGUAGAGCCCAGCUUCAAAAUCACUCCAUUUGUAUGAUAGGAAUUUUUUAAGUACAACAAAAGCAAACCCUACUAAUUAUAUUCCUUUUUUGUGUUUUGAUUUUCUAAUUUAAGGGAAAAGAAAAAGAAGGAAACCCGUGCUUGUGAGAAUCAGAUUCAUUGACCUACCCUCCUUGUUUUCUCUCCUUCUCUUUUUCCCCCUCUCUUUUCCAUUUUAAGGGUUCUAUUAUUAUUAUUAUUAUUAUUAUUAUUAUUUGCAUUUGUUUCUCGUUUCUAUCGCUUCUUCUCUUUGGGUUCUACGAAAAAUUUGAUUUUCUGAAAAAAAGUUGGAAUUUUUAUGUGCCUGUUUGCUAAAAGUCGAACCUUUACUUCACAGUUAUUUUAUCUUAGAACAAUGAGAAAACGUAUUCAAUAACCCUGGAAAGGAAGACUAUUAUUUUCAAAUAAUAAUUCUCUUAUUAUUUUUUUCUUUUUUUUAUCCCAAUAACGAGCAAUAAAGGAAUGGCGUUGUUUGGUGAUAAGAGAGAUAUGUUUUUCUCUAUAUGUGAUUUGGGUUCUCAAUGGAGUCUCGAGCCAAAUACUUCUUAUCCAGGUGGCUUAUUUGCUAGCGUUGGUCAAAUGGGAAUGGGAUUUGGCGUUUCACCUAACUCCCCAAAUCCGCGUACCGACGGAACCAAACCACCAUUUUCCGAUUUGUUUGUCAAGUAUUUACCGUUUCGGGUUAUAGAAUUACCGGAAGGUGAAGCGGCGUCGACUAAGAAGAAAAAGAAACUAGAGUUGAAACUGAAAAUCAAGAUUCCUAAUCCUUCAUUAAGGAGGUUAAUAAGCGGUGGCAUAGCUGGGGCGAUUUCAAGGACUUGUGUUGCGCCAUUGGAAACAAUAAGGACCCAUUUGAUGGUUGGGAGUAGUGGGAAUUCCACAACUGAGGUGUUUCAUAAUAUAUUGCAGAAUGAUGGGUGGAAAGGGUUGUUUAGGGGUAACCUUAUUAAUGUGAUUCGAGUUGCACCUAGCAAGGCCAUAGAGGUAAAAACUCCCUUGAAUUACAAAUGGUAUUUUUAUGAAUAUUAUCCAGUUUGUUUAUCGUUUUUGUGGUAUUGAAUAUUGCAAUGUUGGUUAAUCACUUUGCUUGGUUUUUGAGCUUUGUGAUGUUGUAUAUGCAGUAUAAAGUAUUUUGGUUCGAUAGGUAUUCUUGAAUGUGAAUGAUUCGGAUUUAACUAAAUGCGAGCCUUUCUCAUGUCUGUUAAUGUGUCUAACUGCAUUUCUUGUUUUUAUCUACUGUGGUUGUAAACUGAGUGCUGCGGUCGCUACUUUCAUAUGUAUAUUUGUUGUAUUGGUUUAUAAUUUCAUUUUAACUGUUAGGCUAUCUGUUCAAGCAAAAGGGUAGAUUGUCACCUUAACUAGAUUAAAGUGGCUGUUUUCUGAUUGGUUGGAUAAUGAAACAAAGCUUAAUUUACAUUGGAAAAUUGUGGCAACCUCUGGAAGUAACUUUGAUGUUUCAUUUUCACUGCUCUGUUUUUUGGACAUGUCAUCAAUAUGGAUGUUAAGGCAGCAUAACAGAAAAGAAGAAUAAGAACUCUCAUCAUAAUGACAAUUUUAUGUAUAUACUGUUGCACCCUUCUGCUCCAUUCAAAGCCAAAUAAUUCUCACUGAAUGAUGUUUCCAUGUCUUAGUGAUGUUAUCUUCUUGAUCUUCUCAUUCUUGUCCUCGCAAGAUUGAGUAUAUAUUAGAUGUUUUGAUAAACAUCUACUUGCUGUCAAGUGUCAACUGUUUCUAUCUUGUUAAAUAUCACCAACUGAAUGUGUAAUUGACUAAGGAUAGUCUUCUUUUAUGGUUCUUAUCAUCCUAAACAUGAACAAACUAUACAAGGAGAUGUGUGGAACCCAGGGAAGAAGACAAAGAGGAGCUGGCAGUGGCCUUGCCUCCCCCCAACAAAAAAAUUAGAUUUGUCAUUUGGUCCCUUAAAUUUUAUGAAAUUACAUAUUAGUAUAAUGGUAAAAUUGCACAUUGUCCCCUCCUAGCAUAUUAGUAUAAUGGUAAAAUUACAUAUUAGUAUAAUGGUUUUGCCCCUGGCAGAACCAUUGAAGAUGUAAUAUUUAUCAUUUAGGUUAAUAGUGUUGAGCUGUUGGCAUCAAUCUUCCAUGGUUCAAUACUCCUAACAUGAUUCAUAACUAGGUUGUAAACAAGCCUUUAUAUGCCCUUCUUCUGAAAUAUUCUUUCUGGUUCUUAUCUUCUCAAUGAUCGAAAUUUUAAACAUAUGAAAGAAGUGGAGAAUACAAUUACGGGCAUCGUUCUUCAUUUAUCACUUGUUAGUGAACAUUGCCAUCAUGAGUUUUAUGCCUCUUUUGUAGAUCACUUCUGCUACUUUGUCCUUGUUGGUUAUGCUUUACAGUUUAAUUCCUUGACUUAGUUUUAUAGUAGAACCCACGAAUGUUUUAAGCAAGCUUUUCUAAGAGUUAAUCUAUGCUUGCAAUUUUCUUCUUAUUACUAGCCACAGGGGUGUUUUCUUGUUGGCUUUUUGCAAUAAUAGUUUUGCAAGCUUUGUCCUUGUAUGCAUCACAUGAACUGAUGUCAUACAGAACUAACGGAAGGCCUCAGACAAUGAACAUGAUUUGGCUAUUGCUAAUGAUUUUUUCUGCAGCAAAAUGAUAGCAAAACAGCUUAGCUGCAUCUUUCUGCAUAUUAUGCUUCUAUGCUGUAUUCAUCUUGAAACAUAGUUGUCUUUUUUAGUCAAAUGAGAGUUGCAAUUAUUCCUGACAUAUUCAUAUAUUAAUUUCCCAUGUACUGCAGCUAUUUGCUUUCGAUACCGUGAAUAAGACUUUGUCACUCAAACCAGGGGAAGUAUCAAAGAUUCCGAUUCCUCCCUCGUUGGUUGCAGGGGCUUGUGCUGGAGUCAGCUCAACUUUGGUGACCUAUCCUCUCGAGUUAGUUAAGACUCGACUAACUAUUGAGGUAAACACAGUCUAAAAUUUGCAAUUCACAGUUUAGAAGUUUUUGUUUUCACUUAAAUCUGGGACCUGUGUUUACUUGCAGAAGAAUAUGUAUGAUGGUAUACUCGAUGCUUUCUUGAAAAUACUGCAAAGGGAGGGCCCUGCUGAACUUUAUAGAGGUCUUGCUCCUAGUCUCAUUGGAGUUAUUCCGUAUGCUGCCACUAAUUAUUUUGCAUAUGAUACUCUACGGAAGGUUUACCGCAAAAUUUUUAAAGAGGAAAAAAUUGGGAACAUUGAAACUCUUUUAAUCGGAUCAUUAGCUGGUGCUAUUUCAAGUAGUGCAACGUUCCCGCUCGAGGUGGCACGUAAGCACAUGCAGGUUGGAGCUCUGCAUGGAAGACAGGUCUACAAGAAUGUGAUACAUGCACUUUCAAGCAUUCUUGAACAAGAAGGGAUUCAAGGUCUAUAUAAAGGUUUGGGUCCUAGUUGCAUGAAGUUAGUACCUGCUGCUGGGAUAUCUUUCAUGUGCUAUGAAGCAUGCAAGAGGAUACUGGUUGACGAAGAUGAAGAUGAAGCAUAGAGUCUCUGGUUAAAAGGAAUAAAGAACUCAUCUUUUUGGGAUUGAAGAAUGAGAUGGCAUACAUUUUAGGUUCAUCUUUUUAUUUUUUAUUUUUAAACAAUUUUCUCCUGUUAAAUUAUUUAUUUUUUUGUUGAGGGAUCAGUUUCAGCUAGCGGCAUUUGCAAGGUAAGAAAUGACGAUGAAAGUAAAAUUAGUUGGCAUACUGUUUUCUUUGAAGAAUGGAGAAGAUUUGUUGAGCAAUGUUUUGUUUUGGUAAAUUCUUUAAGUGGGAUUUUACUCUUUUUGAUCCUUUUUCUUUUUGUGCAAGUCAUUUGACAUGUUAUCGAGUGUAUAAAAAGUGUUAUUCUUUUAACUUGUGUUAUUCUUUUAACUUUUUACCGUAUUUAGAAGUAUCUUGAAAGAAAUGGAAAAACCAAAAACUUAACCCAGUUCAUAUAGGGCAUAGAAGAAAGGAAUUAGCAACAAAUUCGAAUAAUAUUGAAUAACAAAGAACCAUAGUAUUUUACAAAACUUCCUAAAAUCUCAUCAUCACAAUGACUAAGCUUCACUCACAAGCAAGCAAGAAAAUAGCUAUUAAAAGAUACUCACAAUCAAGUAACACAGCUAAAACUGAGGAAACAUCUUAUUCUUAACUUAUAGCUUUACUCAUCAUCUAAGGCUUCCUCAGUAGCAGCUGCCAUCAACUCAUCAAACUUCUCUGACUUCCCCAGUAGUAUUUCAAUCUACAAUAUAAGAAAUUGCUUGCUUUCAGCCUCUUAUAUUAAGAUAAGUUCAACCAUUUCAUGAGAAUUAAUAUAAGAGAUCUAAAUGAUUAAAAAUGGAUGAAAGUAAUACAGAUGACUUUUACUAUAUAUUAACACCAUUCAAAGCUGUGGGGAAAAAAAUGACAAAAUAAUGAAUUGAUGUUUCAUCCCAUUUUCUAACCUACCAAUUUACAGAAGUGUUAUGUAUUUAGUGUGAGCCAUGGGAUAAACUUAGAAGUAAAUUAUUAUAUAUGUAUUUGCAACUUACUUUUGCUUUUUGUACUGGUCGUCCCCCUGAUUCUUCUCUCAUGUCAAUGGUAGAAGUCAUGAUUUCUGCCAUAUAAUGCAAACAUAUAUAAUAUAUCAUGAUACUAGUUUUGAGUUCUCAACAUGAGAUGAAAGCUAAAAGUAAUCUUGUUAAGGUAAGAAUCUUACUUUUCUCGACAGCCAGCCCGUUGUUCUUCAAUAUCUCAGCAAUGGUAACAACAGUAGCAAUAGCUGUCAGCAGCAUUUAAACCACGUUGUAAAGAAAGACAAGAAAAAGCAAAGAAUCGGUACAUGUUUUUCCCAACAUUCUAAACUAAGAGUACUAAUCUGGCAUUGCAACAGUAGCAUAAAUUACAUGCCAUAAAUGACGUACACAUAGCAUGUAUGUAUGUAUGUCAAAGUAAUGUGUUGUAUUUCAACCUAUGUUCUAUAAAACAAAACGUUCACUUUGUUCCUUGUAAGGAAGCUAUCAAUGUAAAUGACAUAUUCAAAUCCCUCAAAAUCUAAACAGAAAACAAGGUGAAAUAGAAAGGAAGUGUGAAGAAAAGCAAAAAAAGAAUACCCAUUCCAAGAGCAGAAAGUUCCACCUCGUUGUAUUGCUGCAUAUACCUCUGCCAAAAAGGAGCAAAAUAAUCGUUUAAGCAACCAAUAAGAAUCUGUUUUGUUCAUUUUCUUUUUUGUUCUUAUAAUUCCCAUUUGGUUAAAUCAUGAUCAUAAACAUCCAGCAAAUCAAACAGAAAGCCGCAAAAAGUCCGAAUAGGAAAUCAAAUGAAAACCCUAACAUAUAAUAUUAAAGCUACUAUUAUUCAUUAACGACUAAAAACAGAAGACUGCUACAACUUUCAGAGCACGUCAAAAUGAUCACUGAGAGAAAAAUUGAGAAACGAUAAAAAAAAGGUGAAGGAACCUUGGCGAGGUUAACGUAGAAGAAAAGGGGUUUCUGGGUAUUGGAGACUUGGAUACGGUUCUUCUUGUUGUUGGAGGCAGAUGAAUCCACUCCCUCAGUAGUCCCCACCAUUUUUGUUGUUCAGAAAGAGAACAAAAACCCUAAACUGUUGAUCACCACGAAACACAAGGGGAGGGGGGAGAUUUGAUCUUUCAGGGCUCCAAAACCCUUGAAUUCAACCCCAUCUCACCACUACCCCUCCUCUUUUAUCGGGGUUUUCCAUGGUUUUCGAUAGAAUCGAUGAUUUGGUUUGGUUUCAAACAAUAUGAUACGUAUCAGUAUCAUAUUACGUUUAUUUUAUUUUAUCAUCUUUUUUUAAUUAAAUUGGUUUUACUUUACAAGUAACAUUAAAUAAUAGAAUUUUAUAUUGUAUUAUAUUAUUUAUAUUUACAUAUAAAUUUGCAUUAUUGUCUAUAUUUAUAUUUGAACCAAAUAUAUAUAUAUAUAUAAAAUUUUAACUGAGUUUUGUAUCCUGAUUGAGUUUUAUAUCAACUCAAUUAGUAAAAUACUUAAAAAGAAAAAUAAAAAAUUCAAAAAUUAUUUUUUAUACAAUUUUUAUAAUUUUUAUAUAAUAUUUUUUAUAAAUAAAUUAAAUCACCUCUUAAAAGAAUCAACCCUGCAAAAAAAAAGCCUGUUUUUGUUAUCAAUGUUAAAAAUAAAUCUAUUUUCAUAUUUCUUUUUACUAAAGUGUGGCUAUAAAUUAUUAUCUGAUAACUUAAAAAAUACUUGACUGAGUUGAUAGCUUAAUUUACACCAGAAAACCUCACAAACAAAAUGUUAUGAUUAAACAUUUACAUUCUUGUUUAAAAAGAAAAGAAAAAACCGAAUUAUUACUGUGUUAUCACUUCAAACACAAUUAUGACAUUAAAAUAUAUCACAUACAAUAUAAAUACGCAUAUCUUUAUUAGUAAUCCACCGGCAGAAAGGUUUUCAGACAAUCCAAGGCAAAUUAGGUUGGCACAUUAUCUUCUUUAAAAUGUGCAUUCAAUGAUCAAACAUAAAAGCAGAAUCAGAGACUAGAUUUCACAACAUCAUUAAGAAAUAUCUUUGGAAAUUGGAACCCAAACUUAAUGAUGAUAGUCUUUAUUCCAGUCUCAUAUGAAUGAUCAACUAAAACAAAAAUAAAAUAUGGACUCAAAAAAGAACAGUAACAAGUCCCUUUCAUGACAUUGGAUGAAUAAAUAUCUCUACAUAAUAAUGAAAAAAAUAUACUUAUAAAAUUACACAACACCAACAUCAAACUUCAUCAGCAAUACCAUGUAGAAGAAUAGAAGUGAACAAAAAGAUAAUAGGGUGGCUGGUCUUAGGUCCCCAUAAACUUAUAUCAUGCACAUGUAACGCUGCAACGUCUCUUUUUCCUUUGGUUAUAUACACAAUAUCCAACUUGAAGGAGAGAGGGUUUACUGGAAUAAAAUAAUCCGGAAACGAAACUAACAGUUGAUGCCACAUUGACCAUUAGCAGCAGCUUUUGUAGCUUCUGAGGUGAAGGGGUCGAUACGCACCCACAGCAAUGAGAAGAUGGAAGCCAGAAGUAUAGACCACACGAUGACAAUUGUUGGGGUACGAUUUUGACGACCCACCAAACCUUUCAAGAAAGGAUACAAAUGAGCAAUCACCCAGAUGGCAAAGAAAAGCUUGCCAAAAAGAGGACCCCAGGAUUGGUAACCACUGUUUAUAGCAUACGACACGCCGGCCACAAUGCCCACCAGGUUGAUAAUGAGUACUGUGGUUGGAGGAAUGAGAAGUGAUGUCCAUUUGAAAACAUAAAGUUCGGCAAAAUCGCCAUCAUCAUCAGACGCCUUUGAAGUGACAGUGAAGUUGGUAUCUAUUCCAGCAAGCACUUUCAGAAGACCCUGGAAAACAGCAAAGAG